This 70742-nucleotide long non-coding RNA is filed under the name Eutrema salsugineum. RNAcentral describes it as "long non-coding RNA (ESAL_LNC000180)". The record is from RNAcentral. Lineage: Eukaryota; Viridiplantae; Streptophyta; Magnoliopsida; Brassicales; Brassicaceae.
CGUCGCAAAGGUGUAGGUUUUUUGCAAUAUCAUCUUGAAGCUUUGAAAUAGUUGCACCUUGAGACACCACAACCCAGAUCACAACAUCAAAUCUACCUAUUUCAGUGAACUUAUUGUGGAUUUUCUUGAAAAGGGUAGUCUUGCCUACACCACCCAUACCGUGCAAACCCAUGAUUCCAACUCCAUCUUCCAUAAGGCGCUUCCAUGCCUUUUCCAGCAUUGUUUCCUGACCAAUCGUAGGCCCAGUAGGCCUUUCUUCUACUGCAGAUCUCAAAACCGGCUCAGUAACCUCUUUAAAAUUACCCUCCGAUUUGAGUUUCUUAACCUCUUUCAGCAACAAGAAUACCUUUUUCCCAUAUUUGUAGCUGGAACAUACACUUUUUGAAGAUAAACCACAGAGACAUAACUUCUUAAGCUCAACAGGACUAGUACUAAGCAGAUUAUUGAAUCGUGUAUCGAUGCUCUCGACACGUGUUAGCCAUACCUUGACAGCUUCAAGCCUUUGUUGAUGUUGUGCCUCCUCUCUCGCUACUUUGUUCUUCACCUCAGCUUCAAUUGCCUUGAGAUCAUCCAUUUCCCUCUUCAGAGCCCUGAGAUUCUCCUUGAGGUUUCGAAUAUAACCUUUGCCACAUAAGAAUCUAAAGAUACGAUUGAGAUCACCACCAGUAAGUUGGAUAGGAUUACAACUCCCCAUGUCGAUAGAAAGAGAGAAAACUUUGAGUAAGCAACAAACGAAAGCUAAAGAUGAAGAAGUGUUUUAUGUGAAAAGCAUUUUACAAGUGACGAAGGCAUAUAUGAUUUGUUAUCUGUCGGUCCUCUUUGGUUUCUAAUUUCCACCACUCCCACAUAUGCAUCGACUGAUACGAUUCACAUGAAAAAUGAAAAGCCACACAAUUUCUCUAUGGUGAUAGAAAGAGAAUAUUUCUGAAGCUGAAGAAGUUUUUAUUGUCAAAAAUAUCAUUGGAGAUAAGAUAACACAUCUUUCUCCAAUACGGGUGGUUAGGAGAUUUUCCAAAGGGAAAAAAAAAAAUUGCUUACGAAAGACUUUGACUAUUCUAAUAUCCGACCAUAGAUUUUACGAGUGAAGACUUUGCUCAAACUUAUUUCAAGUCAACUAAAGUCCUAUCUUCUGCUCUUAUGUUCUUCGUUUGGCGCUUGUAGCUGUCAAUUUGUUAGCCAUGUUGGCUUUGUUAUUGUUUGUAAACAAGUCUUCCUCUAAUGGAGCGUAGCUAAUCUAUAAAAUCUCAUUUGAGCAAAAAGAAAAUUAAAAGGAAACCCAAGUCUAAGGUGACAGAAACGUGGAUUGGUCAAGUAGUGGAGAUGAUUAAGUAAUCAUUGUCUGUUAUGCCCAAAGUAGCUUACGAAGUGGAGUCUUCUUUUGCGUUGAAAUCCUAUACGAUUAUUGUGUUGUGCCGAUUCUAUUUUUUCGUUAGUCUCUCUGUAGUAGAAGAACAUACCUUAGAUUUAGGCAUUGCCUGUUUAUGAUUUCAUUUAGAUUCAUGUUUCUUUUUAGCACCCUAUUGAGAAUUUAUUAUGUGCUACUUGAGAUAAAUCUGGGUUUGAAUUCUUUAAGUUGCUCAUUAAUGGAGUUUUAGUCAUGUCUAAGAGUAGAAAGUAUAUAAAAGCUUUUAAAAAAAGACUUGAUGAAUGGCAGAAAGAAUAUGAUCAGGGAGUUUUAUAAAGCUGAGGAUGAUGAAAAAUCGAACAUACAAAGUAUUUUGCCAUGUCUAAAACCAGAAUGUCCUACUGCCAAAUCUGUUGGGUAGUAGAACUUUUCUAGUCAAUGCGGUGGCAAAUCGAAUCUGGGGGAAGAAGUGUAAGAUUUUUUCUCGAAAACUUGGUGAAACUUCUUAAUGUUGUAUCACGUAUUGUUGUUCCAUGGACUUCCGCUGCCACUUUAAUAUAUAUUUUUAUCGUCCCAUUCAUUUCUUGCUGAACAAGAAACCCAAAUGUGGAAAGAAAAGAAGAAGAAAUUGUUUGUGAUUUUAUCCUUUGAAGAUCAAUACACAUAUGUUUUUACAUUUUUAAAUAAUGAAAUUAAUCCCCCAAAUACAUGCAUGACUUUUCUAAUAAUUUUUUAUUAUGUUGUUCCAAUUUGUGUUUGUUGGGUGUAUGAUAUAUUAUGAUGCAAAUGGAGAGUAUCAGUCUAAAUAAGGGUGCAUACUUCAAGCUAUUCUAGAGCAAACAAGUAAGAAACUUUAGAGAUGAAAAAAAACAACUCAAGCGGAAGAGUAUAAGAGAACUGAUUACCAGAUGGAUUAAAGGCAAGAAACGUUUUUGGUAUCUUCGUCCUCCCAUUCAAGCUCAGUUUAUCUCUUCUCCAGGACCCAUACCUAUUGUAAACCAGGCAAUUCGUGGGACACUUGUAGCAUCUAAGGGAAGCUUUCUCAGCUGUGGACACUCUUCUACUGUUAAUUUUUGCAAUAACAGUAGAUACUCUCCGGCUUAAGCAAAUUUCUUAUCGAAAACACUUCUAGUUUCUGAAACGGUGUAAUACCUCUAACUGUAAGAUUGACUUCUUUCUCUUUGCUUAUAAUAAUAUCUUCUACUUCUUCUGAAUAUCCACGUAGACGACAAGAUUUGGAGCAAACAGUGGAUUUCUAAGUUCUCUAGUUUGGGAAAUUUCGUGGCUUAUGAUGAACAAGUUGGGGUUUACUGAAAUUGAGUUCUGGUUUAAUCAAGACUGGUUAUAUCAUUAAUUCUUUAAGCCGGUUAAAGCAGUAUUAUGGUUCUAUUUUGGAAGUGGGUUCACUGACAUUGAUUUUUUUUGUUUUGUUUUAUAAUUUAAUUCAUUUUCAUAGAUGAAUUUGAAAGGUUACAGCGCAAAUAAACCUCAGACCGGUGAUCAGGUGAAACAUGAAAGAUAAAAUUAUGUAUAAGCUUUCCAGCAGUCAAAUCCCAUACCUAUUGGAUAUGAUCAAAUAUUAUAUCAAUUGUUAGAAACACAUACGUUGGGGAAAAGAGAAUGCGCAAGAUCCAUUUAUAGAUAUUGCAGUGCUUACCUUUACAACAUUGUCAAGUCCUCCAGUCACUACAAAAUUUACAACAUACGUUGGAGUAAAUUUGAUAGUGUUGAUGCCACGAGUAUGACCCUUGUACCUCUGUAUGCAUCCCUUCUUUCUGAUGUCCCAAAUCUUCAAAUUCGUGUCACUUGAUCUAUGAUGCCAAAAAUUCACCAAAUGGAUGAAAUUCAACAGCAGAACAAUUGGAUCUAUGUCCAGUAAAAGCUCGAACCACUACACUUCAAGAGUAAGAGUGAACAUGUUAGACCUCAUAAUUCUAAAGUAAACGAUAGAUAUGGUGUGGUACACUGCUCAAAUAUCAGGACCCAUAAUCAACAUCUAACUCAAUCGGUAUCUCUAUAUGUUCCCAUUUGAUGAAACUAGCUAGGCAUAUAAGGAGCAACAAGUAUUCUAAAGGAGAGCAGAAAAUCAAUCAACUAACUCUUUGCUUCUUCUAGAUCCCAAAGCUUUCUCACACCCGAAGAAGCUCCACCAAGCACCAAAACUUCUGCCGAGUCAAAAGCUACUGAAUCCACUGCACUAGUAUGUCCACAUAAACUCUGCAAACAACUCAAGAAAUGAAUAUAGCAGCACUCUUCUAUAUAAAAAACAAUACACACUUUUUGCUCAACAAGGAGGAAAAAUUUAGACAAGAGAGAAAACGUGAAACACACCAUUAAAGAAGUAGGCUUGCCGAUCGCCCAAAGGUUGACAUUGUAAUCAUCACCACCAGUAAUAAGGAGCCGUGAUGUCUUCUUUCCGAUACUUAAGCAAUUUACAUUUGCAGAAUGUGCCAAAAACUCCUCUACGUUUCCAAAAUCAAGUCAAGGUAUAAGCAAACACCAGACAAGAACAGCUAAAGAAAGGAGCAGCCUUUGAAGCAACUCGACAGCAAAACAUAAAGCAGGUCAUAAAUGGAGAGAAGUACUUUCACAUACAAAACAUAUCCAGAAAAUAUCCAUUUUCUAUCAUAUUGAGCAGCCAGUGAUAGAAACAUUUGACCCGGAAUUAAUUUCUGCUAAAAUCUUGAAAUGCUAAUCAAAACUUGAAGCUUAUCAAUAGCAAACUAAGCUUUGCUCUUGGGAGUUUUUAAAGAUAAAACCCUAACGAUUCGGUGAUUUAAAAAAAAAAAAAAAAAGACGACAAAAAUUUCUCAGGAUGGAGCUAAAAAUCCAGAGUUCGUUCAAUUUUACUCAGCUUAAGAAUCAACAACAUCGCCAGGAAUAUAAAAGGAUACGCAGCUUAUAUCCACGCUUCGCCAUUUUCUACUCGAUUUCCAGCAAAUCCGUGGGAAUCAAUGGAAUCCGAAUCUCUAGCUUCCGUAAUCGAUCGAAAAAACGGUGAAUCGGAGCUGAAAAAAAAAUCCCAAUUGUCACUACACGACAGAGCUCGAGAUUUUCGGGAAAUUCAAAAGGAGAAACACGGAGGUUGCUUCCCGUUGAGAUUUCAAAUCUAGAACGUGAGAAAAGAAUCAAAUUCCGGGAACAAGAAUUUUGAAGGAAACGAGAUAAUCAGAGAUUCAAAUAGUGACACGGAGCAGAAAGAAAAAAAGAAACAGAAGAGAAGAAGAAAAAUGGUAAAGCGAAGGAAGUUUUUUAUGUUGUCAAUAUUAUUCGAUAGGUGAGGAAGCACCUCAUCAUCUCUUGGAUUUGUUUGUUUCCUAAAGACAUUGUCAACCUUAUAUAUAUAAAUAGGGUAAUUAAGCGUAGUGUUUUGUUUGGUAAGACAUAAUAUUAUACAUAUAUAACAUUUAAAUACUCGAAUCAAAGAGAUAAUUAAGAAAUUUUGAAUCAAAGCCUAUAACAUAGUGUCUAGAAAAUCAAUAAAAAAUCUUUAAAUGAUUUAGAUAUUAAAAUCAAUUUUUAAAAAUAUUUCUCAAAAUUUUGUGGAUAAAAUAAUCUAAACGAGAAUUGUUUUCAUUGUUUUGUAUAAUAUUUCGAAAAUUGAAAGUAGACUAAAUUAUGUAGAAAAGAAGAAUCUACGACCGCUAACAAACACCUGAACACGAAAUUCAUUAUGAUUAAACAAAUAUCAAACUUUCUUUUUUUCCAACAUUAGUAUCAUGUUUUUCAUGUCAGUCAGUUUCUAUGUUGCUUCUCAUCUUUAGAUGCUUUAGUAUUUCUCAAUGUUUUUAAACCCGACCCGGACAACGACCCGAAGUAUUCUUCGGAUUGUCGGUUAACUGGAUUGACCUGGAUUAAUCCGGGUCAACCGCGGAUCAACUAAGUAUAUAUAUUUGUUAUGUUUUUUAAUAAAUUUUAUCACUUUUGUUACAUUUUUUUUAAUGUAAAAAAAUACAAAUUUUUGCUAAAAAGUUUUGUCACUAAAUCGCAUUAAUUAUUAUAUAUCUUUUUCUAUAUAAUUUUUUUUAAUAAAAUUAAAUUAAAAUAUACACUAAAUAUAGUGAUCAUAUUAACUAUAUUUUUGAACAUUUUUAAUUAUAUAUUUUUUCCUUUUAUUUAUUUUCUUUUUUAAACAGUUAAUUUUUUACUAGAAAAUUUGAUAUUACAAAACUUACAAUUGUAUAAUGGUGAGAAAAUAACAAACUAUUCAAUAAAAUAUAGAAAAACAAACUGUUAUUACUACUAAAAACAUUCAAAUAAAAGUAUAUUAAUUGUCUCUAAAAUCCAAAAAUAAUGUAGAAAAUUUUAGCAAUAUUUUUUGAUUUUGUUACCACCUCAUUUUUUCCAUCUUCUGUUAUUGUAAGUGCUCUGCAUCUUGUUCUAAUUUUGUUUUCUAAAACUGUAUUUUUUUUUUAAAAAAAUAUCAUAUAUUCAUAAAUAAAUUUAUAAAACUAUUAAUUUUUUUCCAAACCAGAAACCCAUCCAGAUCGGGUUUUUGCCGGUUCACCGAGUUUAAGCGGGUUUUUCUGGAUUUAAGCGGUUUAAUAGCAUUUUGGGUUUCAACAAAAACUAAACCGGAAAUUUUACCAGGUCACGGUUUAACCGGUUAAACCGUCCGGUCCGAUCUGGGUCUGAAAACAUUGGUAUUUCUCUUACAACUAUGCUCAUGGUAUUUAGUGGUUGGAUGAUUUACUUUAAGAUUAGAAUACUAAUAAUUUGAAUAUUCUUACAACAAUUUCAACUGUAGUUGAAAUCUGAAGCCAUAUUAAAUGAUAAAUAUACUCAGUUUUUAAUUAUUCACAAACUACAAAAAUUAGUCUAGAUUUCGAUAUAGAAUUUUAUAAUUAUCAAUAUUUUCUUCUUCUUUUCCUGAUAGCAUAAGCUUUUAUUGUUUAUUUUUAGUUAAAAAAGAAAAUAAAGUAUAGCAAAUUAAACACAUUAUUGAAACAAAUGUUAGGAAUCUUAUACUGAAUAUUUGAUAGAACCCAAAGUAAUAUAUAAGUGAAAUGGAUCAAUCCGCACCAAUUAUUUUUAAAUCAGAACCCCAUAAAACGUAAUGUGGUAGCGGAAUCCAAAUUUUGUUGACUUACGGUAGUAAUAUAUAAGUGAAAUUAAUCAAUCUGCUAAUUACCAGCUACUUUUAAAUCAGAAUAUCAUAACGUAAUGUGGUAGCAUAAUCCAACUUUGUUGAUUUAAGUAGGAUAGCCCGAAUAAGAAAUAUUGUAGUUCGUGUAUGGCAUACUGCAAAUCUUAGAAUAUGUUUUGGUUUGAGUCUUCAAGAUGUGCGAGAUAGUUAUCAUCUAGAGGAAAUGGACUUAAAGAACUAUAUAAGAGAUACACUCAUAAUUCAUAUAUACCAGAAUCCAUUUUAUUACCAAUUUUUUUUUAGUUAGAACCUAUAAAACUUAGAAACAUAUAUCAUGAUAUAGAAUCAAAGGUCAUCUCACUAAAAAUUAUUAUGCUCACAUAUGGUUUAGUUAUUCAAAAAAAUAAAUAAUCAAACAUACGAAUUAACCAAAAUAUAGUCUUAAAAGUUUUAGGUCUGCUAAAAUGUUUUUUUUAGGUGUUACUAUGCUAAGCUUCAAAUUGUAUUGUAUUCACUCUUCAGUAUAAGACUAAUGAACAUUUAAUUUACAAUUUUGAAUUUUCUAAUGGAGUAGACCGAGAUCAGGCCCAGGCUAUAACCGCUUCUUACAGGCUAUUGAUGCAAUCAAAUGUUACAAAUUGCGAACGGCUAUUUGCUUUGUGUUAGCAUUGGUCCAUUGAAUUUUAAUUUUUUUUUAUAAUAUAUUGAGUCAUAUGUAAAUACUAGAUGCCUGGUACCGGUUCUUAUCAGCUUCGCUGCUUUGUAUAUAGUCGCCGUCUGCAAGAAUCAUUCUGAGAAAUGCUAGACAAGAGUGAGAAAGACAAUUUUGUAAAAGAAAGAAGAUUGAGUUUUGCCAGAAACUACUCUACAAGAUUGUUGUAGUUUCUGGACACGCAGCUAAUUCAAACGACGAACCAAUGUUCAAGACCGGUGGGUGGUGAAUAAUUGAGCGUAUCAAUUAAGCUUGCGAAUUUGUUUUUUUUUUUUUGGCUGAAGAUUUGUUCUUGGGUUCUUGUUUUAAUGUUCUUAAUGUGGUGAAGCCAUUAGGAAAGGAAUGUGAAAACUCUUAAAAUUAAGAAGACUCUUUCCAUGUCUUCUUAAGCGAAGUUGUCUCUAGUUAUUGCCCCAAAUCAGAAAGCCACUAGACAUAGUUUAGGAUUAGAUGGAAGUCAUAGCGUCUUCAGAUUAGGUUUAGGGGAUUUAAAUUAAAGAGUCUGAAAAACAGGAUCUUCAUGAUUUAGCAAAAUCAUAUAACUUUUCAUCUUGAUUCCUCCUGUUAACAACAGAAACACACUGCAAGAUGAAAUAGAAAAAGCUACAGGUAGAGGAAUUUGAUUUUGGAUAGUGAGGAAUCAAAAUACACAGUGAAUUCAGAGGCAUCACAUACUUUUAUGAUAUAAGCAUAAAAACUGUUGAUUAUAUAAAUACAUGUAGCUUGAGAAGGAAGCAAUCCGCCUUAACUUAUUACAUAGAAAAUUGAAAAGAGAAAAUCCAAUUGAACAACACAACACACUGCAGAGAGAGAUAAGAAUGCAUAGGAAAAGCAAUAAUACAAUCCAAAUGAGCAACACAUCACACUUUCAAGAAGAAAGAGAACGCAGAAGAAGAAGCGAGGAUUCUGGUUUCUGACAGUGAGGAAUCCCAAUCCAGCUUAAGGGAUGGUUAGACAUACUGAAUCCGCUAAAGAAGAAAAAAAUAAACAAAAGUUAGUGAAUAUUCAUAAAAAAAAUACAUUUCACCUAAAACUGCUAGGAAUAUCCAGCAAAAUCUUAAGAAGCUGAACUAAUAUUAAUCAGUUUCUAUUAAAUAUUUUUAUAUAUUCUUUGCUUAACGAAUGUGAAAGGAAAAGAAGAAGAAGAAAAACACUGUUUGUAGAUAUAGUCAUUUGAACAGCUCAAUGCACAUAUGUAGAAAUUUUAAUGACCCCUCGUAUAUAUCCAUUAAACACAGGUCUGAUGAUUUUCCAGAUAAUUGUCUAAUUUUGUGCCUCAAUUUGUGUUUUGUUGGAUAUCAUGAUGCAAAUGGAUAAUAUCAGACCAAAGAAAAAACGAUCACACCUCAUUCUAACCUUGAGCAAACUUGAAAGAAACGCAGUAAGAUAAAAUAAUUUAUUCAAGCGGAAGAGAAUAAGAGAAAUGAUUACCGAAUGGAUUAAAGGCAAGAUACGUUUUUUGGUAUCUUCAUCCUCCCAUUCAAGCUCAGUUUUCUGUUCUUCAGGACGCAUAUAUAUUCCAAACCCGUCAAGUCGUGGGACACUUGUAGCAUCAAAGGGAAGCUUUCUCAGCUUUGGACAAUUUCCUACAUAUAUGUGCCGCAAUGAUGGAAAGGGGAGAGGACUCCAGUAGAUACUCUCCAGCUCAGGCAACUGUAACAGGGAUAACUUUUCUAGUUUCUGAAAUGGUGUAGUACCUGUAAGAUUGGUUGCUUUCUCUUUGUUUAUGAUUUCUUCUAGUUCUCCUAAAUGUGAAAUGUCUAGCCAAGUCAGAUUUGGAGCAAACAGUAGCCAAGUCAGAUCCUUAAUGCCAGGACAGCUAACCAUUGCCACGACGGAGAGGUUGGUAAAGCGUGGACUUGUCCGAUUGUGUAAAUGAGAUGAGUCGGUCUCGCUUUCUCUGCAUUUAGUAUAUGUAUUAAUCUCCGAGACAUGACUUUUUUUCACACAGUGCUCACGAAGAUUCUCCAUACUCACCAGCGAUGACAUAUUGAAUGGCUUUUCUUUAAAACCUUGAAUAACCAGAUGAAUGAUGCAGUUAGCCAACCUUUGAUCGCCUAAUAUAUGCUUCAAACCCAACUCGGUAGAGAUCGUUAUGUCUAGAACUUGUAGAUGCUACAAGAGCUGCAGCUCCUUCAACAAGCUAACAUCUUCAUGAACUUUAGAAUUUUCUAGUCUCAAAAUUCUUAAACUCGACAGCUUUGAUAUCCCACUGAUACUACAAAGACUCUCUGUACCAGUCAAAUCCAGAUGAAUUAGCUUUUUCAACUCUUGGAAACCAACUGGCAGUUGCUUUAUACUUGUGUACGACAAGUUAAGAUACUGCAAGGAGGCCAGCUUCGAUAUCUGCUCAGGAAGUUUUUGGAAAUCAUCAUUAUCUGAUAGAUCCAAAACAACUAGCUUUUGCAUAGAGCCGAUGAAUUCACCUGAGAGAUUCUUCAACUUAUUCUUCUGGAGGAGCAGAGUUGUAAGUUCAGAACACUUGGAACUGCAUUUUAUCUCUUUAACCUCAUUCCUCAUUAAAGACAUCCUUCUCACAGCUCUCCAAUUCUUGACUUUUGGCGUUUCGUGUAAUCCGACUCCUGCUUGAACAAAAAAAGACUCAGAUGCAAUCCAUAGAGCCAUUUCGCGAACCACGUCAUGCAUCACAACAAGACCUAUCCUAUCAGGCUGUUCUGUCAGUAAAUUUGAGCGGAUAAGGGUACCAAGUACCUCAUAACCCUUAUUCACUGCCCUUUUAUAAGAUUGGUGUUCCCCGAUGAAUCCCUCGCACAUCCAAUAUUUUAUCAAAUCUCCUUUAUCUAUCUCAUAAUCUUCCGGAAACAGAGCACAAUAGAGGAAACACGACUUGAUAUGUUCACCCGCCAAGCUAUCAUAGCUAUACUUCAGAAUCGGAAGAAUUUUGUUUUCCAUGUCAGAAAACUCUGCAGCUGAUCUGGACAAAACAUCGACUGCAAGCUCCCAUUCUUGUACCGUAGUUUGAGAUGACAUUGUCUCACCAAUGACAACAAGCGCUAGUGGCAGACCACAACAUUCUUUAGCGACCUUUUUGGCAAGCUCGACAAUGGCAGGAUCUCUACUUAAUGUAUUAUCUCCUACCUUGCUUUUGAACAAUUCCCAUGCUUCAGUCCAUUCCAAACAGUUGACUUUCAUCGGCUCAUGAUCUCCCAUCCGCCCACAUACUACCCGAGAACGAGUGCUGAAUGUUACUUUGCAUCCAUUUUCUCUGGUUGGAAACGGAACUCCAAUGACUUCUAAAUCAACUUUCUCCCAUAUAUCAUCUAACAUCAGGACAAAUCUCUUCCCUUUUAAAACUCUGUGUAUAUUGAUUGCCUUGUCACUUUCACUUUUGUUCUUCCACUCGCCGUCGCAAAGGUGUAGCUUUUGUGCAAUAUCAUCUUGAAGCUUUGAAGUAGUUGCACCUUGAGACACCACGACCCAGAUCACAACAUCAAAUCUACCAGCCACUUCAGUGAACUUAUUGUGGAUAUUCUUGAAAAGGGUAGUCUUGCCUACACCUCCCAUACCGUGCAAACCCAUGAUUCCAACUCCAUCUUCCAUAAGGCGCUUCCAUGCCUUUUCCAGCAUUGUUUCCUGACCGAUCGUAGGCCCACUAGGCCUCUCUUCUACUACAGAUCUCAAACCCGGCUCAGUAACCUCUUUAGAAUUACCCUCUGAUUUGAGAAUCUGGACCUCUUCCAGCAACAAGAAUACCUUUUUCCCAUAUUUGUAGCUCGAACAUACACUUUUUGAACAUAAACCACAGAGACACAACUUCUUAAGCUCAACAGGACUAGUACUAAGCAGAUCAUUGAACCGUGUAUCGAUGCUCUCGACACGUGUUAGCCAUACCUUGACAGCUUCAAGCCUUUGUUGAUGUUGUGCCUCCUCUCUCGCCACUUUGUUCUUCACCUCAGCUUCAAUUGCCUUGAGAUCAUCCAUUUCCCUCUUCAGAGCCCUGAGAUUCUCCUUGAGGUUUCGAAUAUAACCCUUACCACAUAAGCAUCUGACGAUAUGGUUCAACGUUUGAUCACAGGAAAGUUGGAAAGACACACAAUUCCCCAUGGUGAUAGAAAGAGAGAAAACUUUGAGUAAGCAACAAACGAAAGCUAAAGAUGAAGAAGUGUUUUAUGUGAAAAGCAUUUAACUAAUUCUGAAGAAGGAAGAGAGGAUUAGUUAGAUUUUAGUCUACUAUGCGUUUUAAUUUCCGCCAUUGUUUCGAAGGACGUUUAGUCGUUUACUUUAGAUGCAAUUAUGUUUGAAAAAUUCAAAGGUCAAUUACCAACUCUUAUCAUUAUUAAGAUGCAACUAUGUUUUAAAUUAUACAAAGGUCAAUGAUUUAAUCGCCCAGUUUGGAUUAUUAUGCAACUAUGUUUUAAAAAAACAAAGCUCAAUUAAUGUUUAAUCACUGGGUUUGGAUUAUUAUCAUCACUUGUUGUUAAUUAUUUAAAUCAUUCACUUUAAAAUAUUUGUGAAAAAUCAAUUACUUUAGAAUAUUUUCCAAAUGACAUGGGAACCAAUAACCAUGAUCAAAAACGGUGUGGUGCGAUCGCACGAAGCCAAAAACAACUUACAAGAAAUCUGGAACAGAGCAGACAAUGGAGAAGUCUAAGGAUCUCGUCAAGGCUGAGAACUCAGAAUGGCCUCCAAAUUUUAUCUGCACCUGAAUUCAGAAUGGCCUAACAAAAAGUGCAGAAUGGCUUAUAAAAACUGCCCAUACCAAGCAAAAAAAAAAAAAAAAAAAAAAACAAAAAACAAAGUCAGUCAAUAACAGAUAUCAGUCUCGAAGUUGCUUUUUUGUUUCACCAAAAAAAAGAAAAGAAGAAGUUGCUUCUUUUGUGGGAAAAGCAGAGGUCAUAUAAAGGCUCAUUGUUACAGGUUUCAGAGGAAAGUAAAUCAGUUUUAGAAUCAUCAAGACUAUAUGGAAAAACCAUUGAGAUUCACAGAAGCAAAGAAUUUUAUUUUGGACAUCGAGGAAUAAAAAUCUAAAAUCAAAAUCCAAAGGUACAUUGAAGGAUGUUUAGACCCAAAACGGCUACAAAAGAAAAGAAAGAAAAAAAAGUUAGUGACACUUGUGGAACGCAUUGAAAUUGAGAGGGACAACAUAUUCUGAAAAUAAAAUUCCAUUUUAACAUGUCUGCAGGGAUUAUCCAACUAAUUCUACCUCACCAUUGAUAUCUUAAGAAGCUGAACUAGGUUUAAACGGUUUUGUUGCGGAUAUCACCAAUAUCAAUUCGUUCAAAUUGAGUUUCCGAUCUGAAUCUUUAGAUGAAAUAGAAACGAGAAAUAAGCAAUAGAAACUACACACAAGAUUUAUCCAGUUUAGGGGCCAACCGCGACCCUACAUCUGGCAGAGACUUCCUCGGAAUUCACUAAGAGAAUGGUUUACAGAGUAGCCGUUACUCUCACUGGAAGAUACCCCGAGAAUCCCUUUCACUCACCGGAAAGAUCUCACAGUUUUCACUCACCAAUUACAAAAAAUGGUAUGUCGAAGAAGAUCUCUCUCUCUCUCUCUCUCUCUCUCUCUCUCUCUCUCUCUCUCUGUCUGCAACUAAUUAAUGACCGACCCGUAGUAACAAACCGAAACAACCCCUGCGCGUAAACACACGCUCUAACGGUCACUCUUCGAUAUCAGCUUCUAGAAGAAGCUCGUAACGAUGACGUCUUGGAGUCUUACCUUAUCCGGUUCACCUAAUCCUGAAAUCAAUAUCCUGACUUCAUAAACCGGAACCUGCUAAUUGAACUAGAUGGUUUAUCAACCAAACCCAUCGGACAGGUUUUUUAACUUUCUCUUUUAACAUUUUUCUCCUCCCAUAUAUUCUUUGCUGAACAAGAAACCCAAAUGCCAAAUGUGAAAGAAGAAGAAGAAGAAUUAUUUGUGAUUUGAUCAUUGAAGAAUUCAAUACACACAUGUUUUGUAAUUUUGGAAUUAAUGAUACCCCAUACAAAUCCACCAAACACAUGUUUUAUUUUCAACGUAAUUUUACAGUUUGUGAUCCAGAUUUGUUUGUUGAGUAUCAUGAUGUACAUAUGGAUCAUAUCAGUCUAAUAAAACGAUUCAGACCUCAUGCUAACCUUGAGUGAAAGAAACUUAGUAGUAAAAAUAAUUACCCAAACAGAAGAGUUUAAAGGCAUCUUCUAUAUAUAAUUCUAUAUUUUACUCUAUUUAGAUACUCCAUUUUUAGAGUAAUUCUAUUUUUAGAGUAAUUCCAUUUUUUAAUAGUAAUUCCAUUUUGGAGUGAAAUAUGAAAUAGGUUUAGAGAGAAUUUUCUUCGAACUCGAAAUUUGGAGUAGAGUCGGAGAUGAUCUAAGAGAACUGAUUACCCCAUCGAAUGAACGCAAGAAACGAUUCUUGGUAUCUUCGUCCUCCAUUCAAGCUCAGUUUUUUGUUCUUGAGGAAUCAAUCUUAUUACAAACUGGCCAACUCAUGAGAAACUUGUAGCAUUUAAGGGUAGCUUUCUCAGCUUUGGACAGAGAUCAGCUACUAUGUGCUUCAGAAAUGGAAAGGCAAGAGGACUCCCGUAGAUACUCUCCAGCUUAGGCAAAUUCCUAAAUGUUAUAAAUUUUAGUUUAUGAAAUGGUCUUAUACCUGUAAGAUUGUUACUUUUUUGUUUACAAUGUCUUCCAGUCUUCUUGAAUUUUCAAUCUGUAGGUAGACAAAAUAUAUUGACUAGAUUAUGUUGAAAAAUGUCAAUCUCUAAAACAUUGCUUCAGUUCGCCAACCUUCAAUCGCCCAAUAAUUGCUCCAAAUCCAACUCCGCAGAUAUGAUUAUGGUUAGAACUUGUGGAUUCUCCAAGAGCUGAAGCUCCUUCAAUAAGCUAGCAUCUCCAUGAAAAUUAGAAUAUUGGAAUUUCAAAAUUCUUUAACUUGAUACUUUUGAUAUCCCAUUGAUACUAGAAAGUCUCUAUGUAACAAUCAAAUUCAGCUGACUUCGCUUUUUAAAAUCUUGGUAGCCAACAUGGAGUUGCUCUAUACUGUAUACAACAAGUCAAGAUACUGCAAGGAUGCCAGCUCUGAUAGUUUUUUCAUAGAGCGGAUGAAUUUACCUGAGAGAUUUUUCAAAUUAUCACUCUGGAGGAACAGAGUUUUAUAAGUUCAGAGCACUUGGAAAUGCAAGUUAUCUCUUUAAUCGUAUUCUUCAUUAAAGACAUCCUUCUCACAGCUUUCCAAUGCUUGACUUUUGGUACAUAACCCUUAUUCUUCGCUCUUUUAAAAACUUGGCAUUCUCCAAUGAAUCCCUCGCAGAUCACGUACUCUAUCAAUUUUUCUUUAUCUAUUCGAACAUCUUCUGGAAACAGAGCACAAUAAAAGAAACAUGACUUGAUACGUUCAUCCACCAAGCAAUUGUAGCUGUACUGGACAUUUUGCUAAUGUUGAGCAAACAUGACUUUAUCUAUAGAGGAAACAUGACUUUAUCUAUAGUGUUUUUGGUCAAUAGGUGGAAUGCAUUUAGCUAAUGACGAUGAAAGAGAGAGAUUGUGUUAGAUUUCAUUCCUCUUUGCUUUGUAAUUUCUCCCAUAGUUUCAAAGUCGUCGACUUGAUGCAACCAUGUUUUUAUAAAGAUGAUUAAUCCCCAGUUUCGGAGUAUUUUAAUCACAUUAGAUGCCACUAUGUUUUAAAAGACAAAGCUCAAAUUCGUUGACUUGAGCUUUUCAAGAACGAUUUGAAACGUGUGGCUGAUGUUCCAGAAAGAAAUGCACCUGAUUUCAGAAUGGCCUCCAGAAACCUGCACCAUACCAAGUAAAAUCAAAACAAAUUAAAGUCAGAUAAUAAAAAAUUAAAAGAGGAAUGCUUCUGGGGGACAACUCCUAAGCAGCAUUGCUCUUGGAUUUGGAAAUCUAUUCUCUCUCUCUUAUGCCCCUUGCAAAGAAUCUGAUCGGAUGUGAUGUUAGGGAUGGCGUGUCAACAAGUUUCUGGUUUGACUCUUGGACCAAUUUAGGUCUGUUGAUUGACUUGACAGGUCUUGAUGACCCACAAAAAAUGGGAAUUCCUCUUUACUCUUCGGUUGCUGACUCUUGUUCUCCCAACGGGUGGAGACUUUCCUCAGCUAGGACCAGAGACUCAUCUCAUUUAGCUAUCCGCAACACCAUUACUGAGUUAUCCAUCCCGCACCAAGAUCAGGGUGGAGACGUGUUUCUUUGGGGUGUAGAAGGUUCAAGAAGAGAUUAUUUCUGUACCAGCAAAACUUGGCAUAUUCUGAGGCUUAAGGAGGAUAUAAAACGUUGGUUGAAAGCUGUGUGGUUCAAGAGAGCCACUCUGAAGCAUGCUUUCACCUUUUGGACGGCAAACUAAGACAGGUUACCACUGAAAACAAAGCUUGUGAGCUGGGGAAUUAAUAUCUCUCCAACAUGCUGCCUUUGUGACAUGGAGGAAGAGACUAGAGACCAUUUGUUUCUACACUGUCCAUUUUCUGAAGCAGUUUUGACCAUGGGGAUUCGGCGACUCGAAUUUUUUUGGAGUCUCAUUCUCUAAUUGGCAGUCCAUGAUCAACUGGAUGCUUCAACGAACACCAAGACUCUCCUCUACCCUGAAGAAGAUCCCAGGCGACAAUUUACUUGUUAUGGCGUGAACGAAACCAGAUAAUACAUGAUGGUCCUCUAUCUUCUGAAAACCAUCUCUUCGAUUAGUUGGAUAGACUGAUUAGAGACACAUUGUUGGCACACAAUCCCAGCGUAACUAUAGGGGUCUUCUAUCUCUUUGGUUUAAGAGCCACUAGUUCUUCAAGCUCGAUUGUAAUUCUACUAAAAUGAUCUGUUUCCAAGCCUUUUUCCUUUUUUUAGGCUUUUGAAACAGUGGCUGAGAGAUUUAUAGAAUAGCAGCGGAUUAAGCAAGAAUAUAGAGAGAUUUAGGUGAGAUUAAUGAAAAACUAAAGAAAAGAAGAGAGAAUCAAGAGAUUUAGAGAAAAAGAUAUGUAUUCUCAUUUUCUUAGAUCUAUAGAAAGCUGCUACAUGUGUUUAAGUAGGAAGACAAAGAAAACCCUAACACAUAUGGGCUUACUAAAUACCUUAUAAAGUUUUAUAAAGUUUAUAAAAUCUUAUAAAGUCUUAUAAAGUCUUUUAAAGUUUUCUAAUUGGAUUCCCACCAGAAAAGCUGAGAAUGAUCCAUCUUGUUUAACAGUGGCUAAUGUAAUAUACAAUAUAAUUCAAAUUUUAUUUUAAAAAAUAUAAGUUGCUUCUUUUGUGGGCAAAAAACAGGUCAUACAAAAGCUCGUCGUUAGUCUUUACAAGUUUCAGAGGACAGUAAUAUAUAAAAUCAUCAAAUUAUAUCGAAAACCCAUUGAGAUACACAAAAGCGUGUGUUCAAGAGGAAAGAAUUGUACAAGAAUAAUCUAUAACAUGUUGCAUCUAAUUGUGUCGAUGUUACAUGGGAUCUUCUUCGUCCAUCUACUAUAGUCAUAACAGGAUGUUAAAGCAAGACUUAAAGAUGAUGGAUCCGAGUCUGAAGUUACAGAAACGUGGAUUAAGCAAUAAAUUGGAGAUGAUGAAAAUAAGUUAUGCCCAAAGUAGCUUAUGAUGUGGAAGUGGGUUUUGUUUUUUUUUUGCGAAUCCUAAAAGAUUAUUGUGUUGUGCUGAUUCUACGUUAGUCUUAGAAGAAUGGAGUGUGUAAAAUAGAGAAAAUUUUAUAAAAGAAGUAACGUUCAUAUGUAGAAAAGCAUGCUUUUGAAUGAAUAAUGACUUGGUUUAUUUUUCUGUUGAAAGAAAAAAAAAUUAUUUAAUAUUUCAAAACGAGUGUAAAAGUGGAAUACUUUCUCGCGACAGAAAAAAUAUUCACUGCUGGUGAUCUAAAUGACGAUCCCAAAUAGACAAAUAAUAUUAGAAAUCUAUCUAUACACUAUUAUUUGCGAGGUUAAAAAUUUUAGGUGUCGUUCCCACAACAAUUGUUCUACAUGGCAUUAAUGAAAAAAUAUUAUUUAUCGUUUUAAUUUGUUUUGAUAAAUCGAUCAUUAAUCCUACGUGUAAAAACUUGUGACUUGGCUUUUUUCUUCGAUAAUGGGCUACAGAAUUUGUUCAUGGGCCAGCGAUUUUGUUUUCACUCAUAGCCACCGAUUCUGGUAAUAGGGCACCAACGUCGAAACCCUAAACUCUAAAGCAUAUAUCCUACUAUAUAUACAUGUAUUAUCUACAUAUAUUUUUACAUACAACAACCGUCUUCAAGGUCUAGCAAUUUUUACAAAACUCGUCCACCUCUAUUACACGAAUACAUCUUUUUUAUAUCCCAAUCUGGUUUAAAAUAUAUCGUUUGUUUAGUUGGUUGUUCUUCCAUGCUAACCUUUGAAUCGUUUUGUUCUGAUCGAGAUUCUUUUAUGCUAACCAGUCAAAUAUCUAUGUUUUUUCUCUAUCAUGUUCUAUAUUACUAUGCAUCACAACUAUCUUAUUUUUUAACCCCUGUUUUACUCUCUAUGCGAUUGGUCAUCGAGAUAUCAUAUUUGUGUUCUUUCUUUUGCUUUGUAAUUCUAUAUAUAAAAUUCGAUGCUUCAGUAUUAGAUAUUCAUGUUUCUCUUUAUUAAAUUUUUCUUAUGGUUAUAUUUGAUAUUAUUCGUAAAUCUAAAUUGACCUGAGCUUCUUUAUUGUUUUCCUUGAACCUAGAGUUCAUCGUGCAAACUAUAUGUGAUUGGUUCAAACUUUUGCAAUCAUAUCUUCAAAUGAAUCUAACAUGUAAUUGUAAAUAAAUCAUUAGUACUUUUUUUGUCAACAACUUAUUAGGACUUCUAAUUUUCUUAAUUGAUAUUCGUAAACUCUCUAAUUUAUUAUUUUGAUAUUCUUAGAAGGAUCAAAACCAUAGAAAUGAGUUUUUUUGUGUGUAUAAUUCAUGUUUUAGUUUAGGUUUGUAUUAAUUUUUCUGGUAACAUAUUGUGAAUGAAUGUUAUUUAUUGUUUGAUUGUUUGAUUGUUCUUUGUUUCUCCUUGGGUUCUACUUUACAUUUUCUUUAUAUUGUUGUUUAUGUUUAUUUUUAUUUCUAAAUAUAAUUUAUGGUUUUCGUGGUAGCUUUUGUGGACAAGUAAAAAAAAAAAAGAGUAACCAGUUCAGAUUAAUUUUGGUUUCAUAGUUUACUAAAGAUAUGUAACAUGAACAAAACGUCUAUUGUUUUAUAACAUUCCCAUUGUUUUCUACCCAAAGGCAAUUAUGUUGGUUCUGGAAAAAAUGUUUUAUAGUUUUGAUUUUUACCCAACACAUUCUUUUAUCAGAAAAACAUUAAAUUACUCUCAAGAUUAAACUUAUCAGGCAUUAAAGCAAUAUCUUUGUUGGUAAGUCGAUGAAUGAGAAUGUGAUGUCUCAUAACUUCAAAGAGCAAAGGAAAAAUAAGUGACAACGAGACUAGAUUCGGUGUGAGUAGAAUCUUUACGCAUGUUAAGUACUUGUUGAUAUACAACAAUCGUAUUGAGAACAGAGUGCAAACCAAUUGCAAAUUGCACCAUCCAAUUGGUGUUAAAUUAUAUUAUGGUUAAUCCCUGACCCAUUUCUUAGUUUCAUCAUUUGUUAAUGAAUCAUCAGUUUUUUUUAACCCCUGAUGAGAGAUAAAAUCAGCUGAAGGAAGGAGAGUCACCAAUACAGAGAAAGAAGAAUUUUUGCUAUAAAAUAUUCAGGUCUUAAUUUUCAUCAUCCUUGUAAUUUGUUUCAGCUUGCUAAAACUACUUUUUUAGUGUUGCAGACUUCAUCAGAAUACCUAAUAAAUUGAUGAUUCUCUGACACCAGAAUCUAAGAAAUAUACUCACACGUGAUAAACUGAAAUUUUUGUGAAUUGCAGAAUGAACAUACUCACACGUUGCAUUUCUCAUAUGUUUUGAUGUCUAACAAGUAAUUCUUGUGUCAUAUAGCUUUGUUGCUUUAAAAUUUUAGUUUUUGAAUUGAAUUUAUCUUAAAACAAUCCAUCCUUUGAUUGCUUCUCUAAAACCAAAAUCUUACAAGACAAAGCUUAUAUUGUAUCUUCGAAGAAGGUUGAAGAAUGAGAUGAAAUCUCGAGUAUGUUUCUAUGUUCAAAAAACUCAAAUCAGAUUGUUAUGUGUUUCUGAAGUUCACUGGUUUAGUACUUGAACACGAGCAAACAGAGAUUGAACACUCAUACAUUGAGUUGGACAAUACUAAAACGGGUCGGAAUCCCUUACUGAAAUGCGUGAGGAAAACACAGAAGCUAAAGAAAAUAAUGGAUGAAAUGAAAAAAGAUAGUUGGGUGGCAAAUAAAUGUGUGAUUGAUAUGAAAAAUUGGAAAAAAGAGAUGACGAAGACUUGAAGGUAAUGAAGAGAACAAAAUUGAGAAGGAGAAGUUGAGGAGAUAAGGCUAAAGCUAUAUUGUAGAAUUUAUCAUUAAUUUAAAGAGAAGAAGAAGACGAAAAAGAAGGGAAAACCUAAGGAGAUAUAAGUUAUGAAUAUAGAGAGGGAGGUAUGGAGAGAGAGAGAGAGAUGGAGAAAGAAGGAGAGAGAGGGAGAUACAGAGAGAGGGGGAGAUACAAAGAGAGGGGGAGAGACAGCGCGAUGGAGAGAGAGGGGGAGUGAGGAGAUACAAAAAGAGAGGGAGAAGGAAGGAGGGAGAUAGAGACAGACAGAGAGAGAGAUGAAAACAUUGUAUGUGCAAGUAAACAAAUCAGAAUAUGAAAACAAGAGAAAAUAUGAAUCAGAAUAAUAAUCAUUCUGAAAAUAUGAAUACAAUGAAGACUGAGAAGCAGUGAAAAGACAAAGAAAAUCAAAAUAAAAUGUCGGGAGACUAGAUGAUGAUGAAGAAAAGGAUGAGGGAUAGGAAGACUGAAAGAUAUGUAAGAGGAAGAAGAAGAAGAAGUAGAAGUAGAAGUCAAAGACGAUGAAGAAAAAGAAGGAAAAAACAAGGAAGAAAAAACUCCGAAAGAUGAAUAAGAGGAAGAAGAGAAAAAUGAAUUCAAUGGAAAGAAGAAGAAUAAAAAUUCGAAGAGAAAGAAGAAAAAUACAUUGAAAUGGGAUAAAAAAGAAGAAUACGAGUAAACCCGGAAAAAAAAUUUCAGGGGAAAGAAUUGAUCAAACACAUCAAAAAAGAGUAAGAAAAAUACGAAGAAGAAAAAAAUAAAAGAUAAGGAAUAUGAAGAAGAGUUGAACAAAGAAGGAGAAAACAAAGAAGAAGACAAAUAAGAAGAGAAAGAAGAAGUAGAAAUAAAAAGAUGAGGAAUAAGAAAAGCGAAAAAUAAAUAAGAAAAAGAAGAAGAAAAGGCAAAGGCGAUAAAAAAUAAUUUCAUUUUAUACAUGAUUCUUCUGAUUGUUUAUAUGUAUUGUAACUAUCUAAGCUUUUGGCUAUAACUGGUCAUUGGUUUUUGUUGUCUUACAGUGUAUAGGUACUUCCUCUCUUCCCUUGUAUAUUUGUACGUGAUUAUCGUGACAUUUCUACGUAGGUAUUAGAGUAUUGAUACUUACGAUCUAAUUACACAUAUAUUGGAUGGUUGGAAGACAAUGAAGAAAAAUAAUAAAAAAAAAGAUGAUAAAGAAGAACAACCAAAAGAUAAAGAAGAAGAAAAAGAAGAAAACGAAUAACCAUUAUGUGGAAAUGAAAAAUUCGUAUUUGUAUUAGUUUAGUUUGUUUGUAAGUUUUAUACAUUUAUUUAGUAUUGCAUUUUGGGUGUUUCAUUUUAUGGAUUUGUUUUAUUUUGGUCAUAUUAAGUCACAAUUGUUUUGAUUUUCUUGAUUCACAUAAUAUAAAGUUUUGUUUUACAAUUUUAAAUCUCUCAAAGGUCCGCGCAAGGAGCUGACAAGACACCUAGUUUUAAUUUAAAUAAAAACAGAUUUUAUUUGAAUUCAAAAUGAUUAUUGGUAAGCCGGUGAUCACUUUGUAUUUUAAAACUUAAAAUUUUUUUUUAAGUUAAUACUCUUCUUCCCUAAAUAUUAAAAAAAGAAUGGGCAUUAUGACAAUCUUACUUUGUCUUGUAAAGAAAAAACUUAUGUUUUUCCUAACUCGAACGUUACAUCAUUAAUCGAAAUUAAAAUGUUCGACCUGAUAAAGAUACAUUCCAAACACGAGAAGCAAACGUAGCUGCGUAUCUUCUAUCAUAGCUGUAUCAAGUAUUGAGUAUGGUAAUCGAUUUGUAUUAUUGAUGAAGUAUAGUCACAAUAUAUACAAGAGGAGAGGCCAAUAUACAACGGUAAUCUACAUUAACUAUAUGAGCGAUUAUAGGAGAUGAUUAUAGGAUAUGAUGAGAUAUGAGGAAUAUGUGUUUCCAUAUUCUAUCACACCCACUCAAGAUGGACGGCCUGGUGAGAGUCUGAUCUUGACAAAAAGAGUUUGUAAUCGAGCUCGGGAGAGUGGUGUCGUGAGAGCAUCAGCCAACUGAUCCGGAGAUGUGACAUGAGUAACUCGCAGCUGGCCAGGCUGAACAAACUGGCGUACGAAAUGGUAGUCUAAAGCGAUAUACUUCAUCCUAGAAUGAAAAACAGAGUCUAUUGCUGCCAAAUAUGUAGCUCCUAUGUUGUCAGAAUAAAUGACUGGAGUGGAGGUGACAUUGAGGCCCAAUUCUGAUAGGAGAGAUGAAAUCCAGCAAACUUCAGCAGUGCUAGACGCGACUGAGGUAUUCAGCUUCGGUAGAAGAGCGAGAGACCCCAGUUUGUUUCUUCGAGGACCGAGCAAUGGGAUGACUUCCGAAGUAGACAAUAUAAGCAUUUGUGGAUGUGUAGUCGUCUUUGUUACCCACUCAAUCAGCAUCGGUGAAGGCAUGCAGAUCUGGUUUGUUGUUCGCUCGUAGAUAGAUGCCGUGAGAUAUAGUACCAGAGAGGUAGCGCAGGAUUCUUUUUACGGCAGUCCAAUGUUCAGUGGUCGGACGAUGCAUGAACUGAGAUAGUUUGUUAACAGAGAACAAGAUAUCAGGCCUAGUAAGGGAGAGAUAUUGAAGACUCCCCACAAUAAUUUGGUAUUCUGUUGCAUCAUCUAAGGCAGUACCGGAGAGAAGAGUGAGCGAUGAGUUGGCUUCCAUUGGUGUUGAGACAUGUUUAGCAUUGGUCAUGUUGGCCUUGUGCAUUAAAUCUGCAAUAUAACGACGUUGUGUUAGGUGUAGUCCAUCUUUCGUACGAGUUACCUUAAUACCUAAAAAUAAGAUAAAUCACCUAAGUCUUUAAGGGAGAAACGUUGAGAAAGGGAAGCGAUAAACCGAGAAAUAUGAGAGGAACUGUUGCCAGUGAUUAUGAUUUCGUCGACAUAAACAAGCAUGUAGAGAAGAAUGUCGUUCUGCUUAUAUAUGAACAGAGAGGCAUCAGCGACAGAGUUUGUGAAGCUGGAUUGAGGGAGAAACGUGCACAGCUCAUUGUACCAAGCUCUUGGAGCUUGUUUAAGGCCGUAGAUGGCUUUAUGGAGUUUGCAUAUUGCUUGUGGAUUUUCUUUGUCUUGGAAACCAGGCGGUUGGAUCAUAUAAACUUCAUUUUGAAAAUGUCCUUGUAAGAAGGCAUUGUUGACGUCAAGUUAUCGCAUCGACCAAUUCCGUGAAAAAGCUGUUGCGUCUACCACUGCUGAAGUUUGCUGGAUUUCGUCUCUCCUAUCAGAAUUGGGCAUCGAUGUCACAUCCACUCUAGUCAUUUAUUGUAACAACAUAGGAGCUACAUAUUUGGCAGCAAACCCUAUUUUUCAUUCUAGGAUGAAGCAUAUCGCUUUAGACUACCAUCUCGCACGUCAGUUUGUUCAGUCUGGUCAGCUGUGGGUUACUCAUGUCACAUCUGCGGAUCAGUUGGCUGAUGCUCUCAUGAAACCACUCUCCCAAGCUCGAUUCCAUACUCUUUCUAUCAAGAUCGGACUCUCACCAGGCCAUCCAUCUUGAGGGAGUGUGAUAGAAUAUGAAAACACAUAUUCCUCAUAUCUCGUCAUAUCCUAUAAUCAUCUCCUAUAAUCGCUCAUAUAGUUAAUGUAGAUUAACGUUGUAUAUUGGCCUCUCCUCUUGUAUACAUUGUGACUAUACUUCAUCAAUAAUACAUAUCGAUUACCAUACUCAAUACUUGAUACAGCUAUGAUAGAAGAUCAGCAGUUACGUUUGCUUCUCGUGUUUGGAAUGUAAUCUUUAUCAGGUUGAACAUUUUAAUUUCGAUUAAUGAUGUAACGUUCGAGUUAGGAAAAACAUAAGUUUUUUCUUUACAAGACAAAUUAAGAUUGUCAUUAUGCCCGUUCUUCUUUAAAUAUUUAGGGAAGGAGAGUAUUAACUUACUCAAACUCGAAAGGAAAAGCAAUGGUGUAGUAUAGGAGUAUCCAUUAACGAUCUGUAACGAACAUUACUAAACGACUCAUGUUUCAAAUGAAGAAAAUUAUAAUUUACUAACAAUUAUUUUGGGUAUAUCUUACGGUCUUACAUGGUGUUUAAAACUCUCUUAUCCUAAGAUAUAACAACAAAAUACCAUAUUCGUAUUCAUUUAGUAUAAUCUUUUUUUUUUCCUUACUUUACCGUUACAUCAUUCAAGCAAACAACACCUUUUGAUCAACACAAUAAUAGAACACACAAAUGAAUUACAGAACGUGAGUAGUGUUAAAAAGAGAAAAUUUUACUUGACAACAAAUCAAAUGAGAAUUUUCACACAAAAACAAGAAAAAAAAAAGAGAGAAAACUUAUUACCCUGAAAUUGAAUAUUCUAUUUUCAGAGAAAUAUGAAACACUCUACGCAACAAGCGGGUUCUCUAACAAUUCCUCAGUGGUAUAACCGUAAUUCUGAUACUGUUGCUGAUCCGACCCGUUUUUGCUCGGAUCUAGCCUAACCCGAGCCGGAGGCUGAUUGUUUUUCAUAGUCCCUGCCCCACCCACCCGACUCUGAUUCGAAUCCAUCAUGGAUCUGUUCGUUGCCGGUGAUCUCGUCCUUCUUCCGGAUCUCUCACCAUUACACGUACCCGAACCGAAUCUCGCUCCAUUACACGUACCGGUGUUUCUCUUACGAGGAGAUUGAUCGGUUCUUCUUCGGGUCGGGUAAUUAUUCCCUGUGACCCGGGUCCAAGAUUUAGCCGGAGAUCUCUGAGACAUGACUAUAAACCACCUCGACCUCACGAAGAUUCGCCAUACUCACCAGCAAUGGCUUUUCUUCAAAACCGAGAAUACACAGAUAAUUGAUGCAGUUAGCCAACCUUGGAUCGCCUAUGUGGAGUAGUUGUCGUUUUGGUGUCUAAGUCGUUUCUUAAUGGGCUUGCGACAUCAGGUGGGCUUCUACGUUUUACAAGUCUCGACUAAAAACAAGAGCUGGGCCUUACGGGAAAAUUGGCCCGAGCUCAAGGUUGUUAAAAACAAUCAUCGUUGACCAAGUCUUCGUCUUCUACAAUUGGAAUAACAGAACAGAGAGAGAGCGAAUUCUACAGAGUUCUAGAGAGAGAAAGUUUUCUUCUCGGUGAUCGGAGUUACAGCGAUCGGGUUGGUCGAUCUCGGAGGUCUCUGCGUCGAUUCUUUUCCAAGAGUUUUCCCUGCAAAUAGCUGUAGAAAGAUUCAGCAAAAGGUUCACUUGUAUAUCUGUUCUAAACGUUGAUAUAGUGAACGCAUGGUAGUUUAGUUCUACCCCCAGACGUACCGCGAGGGAACUGGGUUAACAAGUUUGCCUGUGUCAUUAGUCUAGAUUCUUCCGCAAGAACACCUUAGUUGAAUCUAGCUCAAUCGAAUUGAUCAAGCUUUUGGGACUAAGAAAUUGAUUCUAGUGUUAGUCGGAUUUCUUAACAAAGUGGUAUCAGAGCAUAGGCUUAUAGAUCGCCGGAGGGAUUACGGUUAAGUGAUCAGGGGGCGAUCUUGGAUCUGAGUUCGAUUGGUUAUCUUUGAAAUUCCUGAAGUCAGUCGAGUUUCUUCUUGGACCAAGUUAUUACUGCAUUCUUUUGGUCUUGGCUCAAGAACAGGAAAGAUGGAAGCAGUUAAGAAGUUUGAGAUGGAGAAGUUUGAUGGCAAAGGUGAUUUCGGUAUGUGGAAGUUUCGCAUGUUGAUGCAACUUGAGUUGCAAGGUUUUGGGAAACAAGUAAAGGAAAUCACAGGAGAGGUUAAGGAUGACACAAAAGGCAAGGACUUAGAAGAAGUGGACUCUGAAACAGGUGUGGCGUUAACUCCGGACCAGAUCAUAGAAAGAGAUGUGAGAAUCCGGAAUCUCAUAUGCUCAAGCUUAACAUCAAUGGUCCUCAGAAAAGUCAUGAAGGAAACGACAGCAGCUGGUGUGUGGAAAGCCUUAGAGGCUGAUUAUCAGACGAAGACUCUACCUAACAGAAUCUAUCUCAAGCAACGGUUUGCAAGUUACAGGAUGGACAAGAAUAAAUCAAUAGAUGAAAACAUGGAUGGUUUCUUGAGACUGGUUGAUGAGUUGGAAAGUUUGAAUAUCCAGAUAAGCGAUGAAGAUUAAGCCAUUCAAGUGUUGUCCGGGUUGCCCGAACAGUAUGCUUCUUUGGUGCACACAUUGAAGUAUGGAAACAAAGGCAAGGAUACCCUGACACUAGCUGAAGUGGUGCAAUCAGCUCACGCAAAGGAGGUGGAGCUUCGUGAGUCUGGUCUCUUGAAUAAGUCAAACCACACAUCAGAAGGGUUAUACGCGGGUCAAGGAAAGUCUGUAAAGAAAAGCAAAGGAAAGUUUGCUGGGGGAAAACAGAAGUCUGGGAAAUCAAAGAAGGAUUCCCAGGGAGGACAAGUCAAAGCACGAGAGUGCUGGGUGUGUGGCAAGGAAGGUCAUUUUAAGAAAGACUGUCCACAAAAGAAAACUCAGGCAUCCUCAAGCUCAGCAAAUUUGGCUCAAGAAAGUGAGAAACCAAUGAUUCUCACGGCGAGCACAAAAUAUGCUAAAGACGAGUGGGUGCUGGAUUCAGGGUGUACGUUUCACAUCACACCAGAAAAGGAUCUACUAUUUGAUCUCACGGAAUUUAAUGGAGGAAAAGUGUUAAUGGGAAAUAACACAUUUAGUGAGAUCAAAGGUAUAGGAAAACUGAAGAUUGUUAAUCCAAGCAAUUCAACAGUUGUUCUAACUGAGGUAAGAUACAUGCCAUCAAUGGGCAGAAAUCUGAUUUCCUACGGACAGUUGGAAAAGGAAGGAUGUUCUUAUGAAGGGAAAGAUUUCACGGUCACAUUCAAAAAGGAUGGGAAGAAUGUUCUUACUGGAAAGUAUAAAGACGGGCUCUACUACUUACAAGGGUCAGUAGUUGAAGGAGAGGUGGAUACAGUUUCUAGAGCUGCGGUUAAUCUGACAAACAGGUGGCAUUCCAGGUUGGGGCACAUGAGCUUAAAGAAUAUGAAUCAGUUGGUUAAAGAUGGUUAUCUUAACAAAAAGGAAGUUCAUACUCUGGAUUUUUGUGAAGAAUGUGUUCUUGGGAAAGCACACAAGUUAAGUUUUCCAACAGGCAAGCAUACAUCAACCGUGAACUUAGAAUAUGUUCACAGUGAUCUUUGGGGAUCUGCAGCGAAUUCUGAGAGCUUAUCAGGCUGUAAAUAUUUCUUGACCAUCAUUGAUGACUAUUCCCGAAAGGUCUGGAUCAGAUUUCUAAGGAGUAAAGAUGAAGUGUUUGGAAAUUUUUCAGAAUGGAAGCUCUUGGUGGAAAAUCAGACGGGUAAAAAGAUCAAGUGUCUCAGGACGGAUAAUGGGUUGGAAUUUUUCAAUGUUCAAAUGGACAAGAUAUGCAAGGACUCAGGAAUAAAGAGGCAUAGGACCUGUACCUAUACUCCACAGCAAAAUGGGGUUUCAGAAAGGAUGAACAGGACCAUUGCUGAUAAGGUUAGGUGUAUGUUAGCGGAAUCUGGAUUGGAGAAAAAGUUUUGGGCAGAAGCAGCAUCUACAGCAGUAUAUCUCAUCAACAGGACACCUAAUGCAUCACUUAAGUUCAAGAUACCAGAAGAGUUGUGGUCAGGGACAAAAAUCGGAUAUGAUCAUCUCAGAAGGUUCGGGUGUAUAGCUUAUGUUCAUACUAUUCAAGACAAGAUCAGUCCUCGGGCUUUAAAAGGUAUUUUUAUGGGGUAUCCUCAUGGAACCAAGAGUUACAGGAUCUGGUUGUUAGAAGAACAAAAGACUACAAUCAGCCGAAAUGUUAUCUUUGAUGAAUCCAGGGUGUAUAAGGAUUUGGGGAAAAAUGAAGAAGAAAGCCUUGAACUUAGUGAAAAGGUUGUCAUUAACCCAAAGACUAAGAAGGUCCCAGGCUCAAGGGUCACAAGAGUAAACAGAGCAGGCUCAUCUGGAAGGAGACGAUCUACGGUUCAAGGUGGAGCUGUUUCAGUUGAGUCAGAAGAUUCAGAUACCGAAGAAAAUGGGUCUGAGGGUGAUCAAGAAGAUGGUUCUGAACAGGAAAAUGCAGGGGUGGAAGAAAAUCUAGAUAACUAUAUCUUAGCUAGGGACAGAGAAAGAAGAACGAUUCGUCCCCCAGCAAUGUUUGAAAGUGGGGACUAUGUUGCUUAUGCCCUAGCAAGUGCAGAAUUGAUUGAACCUCAAGAACCGAGAACUGUUUCAGAAGCGAGAAGAAGUAAAGAGUGGAAACAGUGGAAUGAGGCCAUGGUAGAGGAGAAGCAAUCUCUUGAUAAAAAUCACACAUGGGACAUUGUGGAUAGACCUCAGAAAAAGAAGAUCGUUGGUUCGAAAUGGAUUUUCAAAUUGAAAGAGGGAAUUCCAGGAGUUGAACCACCUAGAUACAAAGCAAGACUUGUAGCUAAGGGAUUCACUCAGGUGGAAGGAAUAGACUACAACGAGAUCUUCUCUCCAGUAGUGAAACAUGUCUCGAUAAGGAUAAUGCUAUCAGUGGUUGUGAAUUUCGAUAUGGAACUCGAGCAACUAGACGUGAAGACUGCAUUCCUUAAUGGUAAACUAGAUGAAACUAUUUACAUGGAACAACCAGAGGGUUUUAUCGAGAAAGGAAAUGAAGGAAAGGUAUGUCUGUUGAAGCGGUCUCUUUAUGGUUUAAAACAGUCGCCGAGACAGUGGAAUCACAGGUUCAAUGAGUUCAUUCAGUCACAAGGUUUUAAGAGAAGUGUGAAGGAUCCAUGCGUGUAUUACAAAGGUUCAGUUGUGGAGGAUAGUGUCUACUUGUUAUUAUAUGUUGAUGACAUGUUAAUAGCAGCUAGAGACAUGGUGAAGAUCAGGGCACUAAAGAAGAGUUUGAGUGCAGAAUUUGAAAUGAAGGAUCUUGGAGCAGCUAACAGAAUUUUGGGAAUGGAGAUCAUAAGAGACAGGAAAAAGGGAAUUCUGAAGCUUUCACAGGCAAGAUACAUAAGUCAAGUUUUAAGGACGUUUAACAUGAAAGAAAGUAAGCCUGUUGUCACGCCAAUAAACUCAUUGUUCAAACUUAGAAGUUUAUCAGAGGAGGAGUUAAGGGUUGAAGCUUCUCUAAUGGAAUCAGUUCCCUAUGCAAGUGCAGUGGGAAGUCUGAUGUAUGCCAUGAUUGGGUCAAGACCGGAUUUGGGUUAUGCAGUUUGUUUGGUGAGUCGGUUUAUGGCAAAGCCAGGAAGGAAUCAUUGGGCUGCUGUUAAAUGGGUUUUGAGGUAUCUUCGGGGAGCUACAGAUUUAAGUUUGACUUUCUCAAGGGCUGAUUCAAUGGAAAUUGAAGGUUUCAGUGAUUCAGAUUAUGCUACUGAUCUUGACAGAAGAAGAUCAGUAACAGGUUAUGUUUUUCAGGUUGGAGGAAAUACUGUUAGUUGGAGGUCCACAUUGCAGCAUGUAGUGGCUUUGUCCACCACAGAGGCUGAAUAUAUGGCCAUGUCAGAAGCAACUAAGGAAGGUUUAUGGUUAAGGGAAUUUUGCAACGAGUUGGGGUUUAAUUUUGAGUAUUUUAAGCUACAUAGCGACUCUCAGAGUGCUAUCAAUUUGGCUAAAAAUGCAGUUCAUCAUGACAGGACAAAGCACGUUGCUACCAAGAUUCAUUUUAUCCGAGACAUCCUAGAUGAAGGGCUAAUCCGCAUUGUUAAAGUUCACACUACUCUAAAUCCGGCAGAUAUGUUGACUAAGAGUUUACCUGGAAAUUCUUUCGAGAAGUGCCUCGUAACUCUCAAAGUCGUCGCCUGAUCGUCUACAGGCGUACUCGUUGAUGGCUCUGUUGGUUGGGCCAUCUCGCACGAGAAAUAAGGAGGAACAGGGUUAGUUUCUCGGUGGAAAAGAUUAAACCAACAAAGUUCAGAAGGUAAAUUCUGAGGUAUCUGGUAAAAGAUAAACAGGAGAAGAGUUUUGGUGUACAUGCAUGUGUUGAGGGGACUUACUUAGCACAAGGAGGAAGCGCAUCGUACUCUUGCAUCUCGGCCUGAGCUGUUUUUUCUCGGGAUAAGGAGAAGUCACGGCGAAGAAGAGAUAGAAGUUAGUAUAACUUCGUGUUUCUAAUUCUAAGAUCUGAAGAGAAGUUCAGAGGUCACUUACUUAGAGGAGAACUGAAGUCGAUUGGAGCUGGAGGCGGCGGUAAGGUCAGCGACGGUGAGGUCGGAGGAACCAAGGUCGUGAGCAGGAUCGAUUCAGGAGGUGUUUGCGGUGGAGUAGCUGGAGGAGUCAAAGGAGGUGACUCCAUAACCUAAGUCGCUGUUGAGUCGGCUAGGGUUGGUGAAGAGACAAGACAACGACAAAGGUGGAGAUUUGUGGAGUAGUUGUCGUUUUGGUGUCUAAGUCGUUUCUUAAUGGGCUUGCGACAUCAGGUGGGCUUCUACGUUUUACAAGUCUCGACUAAAAACAAGAGGAGCUGGGCCUUACGGGAAAAUUGGCCCGAGCUCAAGGUUGUUAAAAACAAUCAUCGUUGACCAAGUCUUCGUCUUCUACAAUUGGAAUAACAGAACAGAGAGAGAGCAAAUUCUACAGAGUUCUAGAGAGAGAAAGUUUUCUUCUCGGUGAUCGGAGUUACAGCGAUCGGGUUGGUCGAUCUCGGAGGUCUCUGCGUCGGUUCUUUUCCAAGAGUUUUCCCUGCAAAUAGCUGUAGAAAGAUUCAGCAAAAGGUUCACUUGUAUAUCUGUUCUAAACGUUGAUAUAGUGAACGCAUGGUAGUUUAGUUCUACCCCCAGACGUACCGCGAGGGAACUGGGUUAACAAGUUUGCCUGUGUCAUUAGUCUAGAUUCUUCUUUCCGCAAGAACACCUUAAUUGAAUCUAGCUCAAUCGAAUUGAUCAAGCUUUUGGGACUAAGAAAUUGAUUCUAGUGUUAGUCGGAUUUCUUAACAGCCUAAUAUAUGCUUCAAACCCAACUCGGUAGAGAUCGUUUUGUCUAGAACUUGUAGAUACUCCAAGGGCUGCAGCUCCGUCAACAAGCUAACAUCUCCAUGAACUUUAGAAUCUUCUAGUUUCAAAAUUCUUAAACUCGACAGCUUUGAUAUCCCACUGAUAAUAUGAUUUAACUUCAGAUAAAUUAGCUUUUUCAUAUCUUGGAAACCAAGUGCCAGUUGCUCUAUACUUGUGUUCCACAAGUUAAGAUACUGCAACGAAGCCAGCUUCGAUAUCUGCUCAGGAAAUUCUUUGAAAUCGAAAUUAUCUGAUAGAUCCAAAACAACUAGCUUUUGCAUAGAGCCGAUGAAUUCACCUAGAAAUUUCUUCAAACUAUUAUUCUGGAGGAGCAGAGUUGUAAAGUGUUCUGAAGAGUUGUAAGUUCAGAACACUUGGAACCGCAUGUUAUCUCUUCAAUAUUAUUUUUCAGAAAUCCUUCUCAUAUCUCCCCAAUCCUUAAAUUUUGGCAUUUCGCAUCAUCUGACUCCUGCUUGUAUUAAGAGAUAUUAGAAGAUAUUAGGCUUAUUGGACGUUGUAUAGAUAAUUAUUAGAAUUAUUAGAGUAAUUUGUUGAUCUCCAACAGGUUUUGACUCAAAAACGUUUUGACACAACUGACUCUUAAGAAAAACAAACACAAUGUCAGCAACUACCUCCCCCAGACUUGAAUAACACUGUCCCCAGUGUUAUCUAGUCCGAAGGUGGCGAAACAAAAUAAAAGAAACAGAGAAACGCAGGAAAAACAGAGAACUUACCUGGCUGCAAUGAUGGUGUCGCGCGACACUGAUGAUGGUGUCGUGCGACACUUGUUUUCCUCGUACCGAAUUGCAGCAGACCAAUCCGAAUUUCUGGUUUGACUCCGGUUGCCUGAUUUCCUAAAUUUCUUUUUUUUUUUUUAAAUAGAAGCAAGUGACAAGCGACACCGAAGGUGGUGUCGCUCGACACUAACAUCUGCUUCACCUGAGACACGAAAAGAAAAACGAAAAUCAACUGAAACAAAAAGACUUAUGCACAGACUCACCAGUGGAUUGCCUUCCACCAAGCGCUUGUUUAAAGUCAUUAGCUUGACUAUGGAUAGACUAUGCAUCUGGUGGAUCAGACAGUGGCAAAGAGUGCCUCUGUGAAAUUCGUCUCAUCCAUGGUGGUGUGUAAGCGUUGUGCGCAUGAGGUCGUCCAAGGAAUGCAGGAAUAGCACCAGGGUGAGAUCUGUGUUUGGGUGGCCUUGACCUAUUCCCUGCAAUAUCAUCAAACGAAAAACCAAGUGCUCUACGAUAAUCUCGUAGCUUGCGUUGUGAGACAGAGCCUGCAUCCUUUGAAUCAGUUCCAAUGAUAUCACGAGAAUUAGGCUUAGGCUCAAGAGGUGCGUAUCUUUGCUUUGGUGGAGAUGGAUGGAGUGCAAUGUUUGGAGCUUCCUGAUCAACAGCAGUCACUGGUUCUGUGGACGUUUUCGUCAACUCAGAUUGAUCUCUCACCAUCUCAGCAUCAAACACGUUCUGAUCUCCAACUAUCACCUCAGGUAUUGCAGUGACUUGGAAUGUCUGACCAUCUAUGGUGGGAUCCUUCAGAUCUUCCCAGGAUAAGAGGAUCUUUGGGUUCCUCUCCAUAUUGCAGAACCACGAAAUCUGUAGGAAUUAUGCAAUCACCAACUUUGAUUGGAACAUCUUCCAAGACACCUUUUGGGAUUCUUUUAGACCGAUCUGCUAGGAUCAAAGAGAUCUUAGUUGGCUUGAAGUCAGUCAUCCCAAGGCUAACAGCUACAGAGUGUGGCAUGAGGUUGACACUCGAACCAAGAUCACACAGCGAUCUCUUGAACCUCUCUGAGAAGAUAGAGCAGUCCAAAACAAAACUUCCUGGGUCCGAGAGCUUUUCUGGAAUCUUAUUAUGAAUCACAGAACUGACAUGUUUAGAGAUCAUCAUCGCUCCUUCCUCAUGACCCACAUUAUUAGUCACCAUCUUCUUCACAUAGUGUCUGAGAGUAGGAGCAAUCUUCACAGCAUCAACCAAAGGAAUCUCAAUCACAAGCUUCUCCAUCAAAAACUUGCAUCUGGCAUCAUCUAGCUCCUGCUUGGACUUCCUAGGACUCCUUGGGUAAGGAACCUUAGGUUUGUAAACCUUUUCCUCAGCAGAUUUCGGACUUUGAGCAAUAUUAGCUUUGCUCUGCAAUUGGUGACGCGCGACACUGGUUGUGGUGUCGCUCGACACUGGCUCUGCAGUUUCGAAAUUUUUUUCAGAUUCGUCAAACUCCACGAUUUCAUCCUCAAAAACACCCUUUUUCAGCACAGGAGUCAACUUUUUACCACUCCUUGACGAGAUGGCACUGCAGUAAUGCCUAGGAUUGGUAUCAGUCUUCCCAGGAAGGAAUCUUUCUUGCCUUUUUACAGACUCUGCAGUCUGAGCAACCUGAGUAUCAAGCUUCUUGACAUGAGUGUUCAGAACUUCAAUUUUUCCAUUCAGAUCCAGAUAUAGAGCAUCAAUCUUCCCAUUGAAAUCCACAGUCAUCUUCUGCUGACCUUCCAAAAUCUGUUCCAGCAUAGACUUCACCUCAUUAUCUGGAGUUUGAGUAGGAAGAGAACCAUAGUUCCUUGAAAACCUGUUGUUGGAGUAGGAUGUCUGGUACUGAGGUUUGGAGCUGUAACCAGAAGAGUUCUGAUUACCUGUGAAGGUACUCCUCUGAUUAUUUCCAUUGUAAUUCGUGUUCCCUUGCCCAGAACCAAAUCUCUGACCCUGAAAUCCAGCUCCAUUGAUGAAGUUAACAUCCUCUUCCUCAAAAGCUUCAUCUGGUCCGAAAUUCUGAACUCCUGCAGGGUAUCUGACAGAUUUCUUACCCACAAGAAGACUAUGCACAGAGUCAAGCUUAGCCUUCACCUCAGCAAUUUGCGAUCCAUCCAGGUUCCCAGCCUGCUUCCUUCGCCGAUAGUCUGCAUUCUUGGUACUAUUGCUAGAUGCCAAGUUUUCGAUGAGCUCAACAGCUUCGUCUGGGUAUCUGGUGUUGAAGUUUCCAUUGCUCGCUGCAUCAAGAGCCAUCUGAUACCUCCAGUCGAUACCUCUAAAGAAAAUACCCAGCAACUGCACAUCGCUGAAGCCAUGAUGGGGACAGUCUCGCUGGUACGAUUUGAAUCGCACCCAGGAAGCUUUGAACGCUUCAGUUGGUUCCUGAGAGAAUGUCGAAAUUUUCGUCCUCAACUCCUCAGACCUAGCAUCAUCGAAGAAGUUGUGCAGGAAAGCAUUCCUGGUCUCUUCCCAAGUAGUGAGUGAUCCUGGCUCCAACUGCUUCAACCAGUUAGCUGCCUCUCCAGCAAGAGAGUAAGGAAACAGCUUGCAGAGGAGGAAAUCAUUGGACACUCCAUUGUAUUUGAUGCUGGUGACCAAGUCCUCAAACCUCUCGAUGUGAUCCAUAGGGUGCUCAUGAGAAAGACCAUGGAAAGGAUGCUGACCCACGAGAGUGUAAUACACAGGCUUGAGCUCAAAAUCAUUCCUCUGAAACGCAGGAGCGCGAAUCGCAGACCGAUUUGCAUAGAAUUGCUCAGGCCUGUUGUAGUCACCCAGCGUCCUGAUGAUGUUACCCUGUCCAUCAAGUCGCUGGCCUCUCUCAUUGCACACAUGACCCUCUCGGUCUCUCCAGAUUCUAUCAUCAUCACGAACAAGUCCAAUGGCGUUUUCCAUCAUUGCCGGAUCUCUUGCUUUCCUGUUCGUUCGCUCUAACUCAGCUAGCUCCUCGUUGCUCAAAUUAACUAGCGGGAUGUCCUUGUUGCUCCUGGUUCCACGAGUAUGCAUAAACCUGAAACACCAAAAACAAAGAGAGAAAACGAGAUAAGUAAACUAGGUUAUAAAAAGAAGGGUGUCGCGCGACACUAGGUCGAAAAACUUAGUCGAAACUCAAAAACUAGGUUCAAUGGCGAAAUCAAGUCCCCGGCAACGGCGCCAAAACUUGAUCUGCUCAAAGUUUAAUCCCUAGAGCUACUCUGCAAGAGCACAGAUGUGCAAUUGUAGUAUAAUAGGGGUCGAACCACAGAGACGAGAGAUCACUCAAUAAACCUUAUAGAGAUUGAAUUACGCUAAGCAGAAAUAUUGUAAAUAAAUAGCAAUGCAACAGAAUUAGACUAAGCAGCAAUAAAAACGGUUUGUAAGAUUCAGAUGGAUGGAGAUUAGGCUUAGGGCGUUUCUCAGGAAAUCAAUGCAUGCAGAACAAUCGAUAAAUUAGGGUUCAGGUUUAAGCACGGUUCUUGAACUCGAAUCACAGAAUUAUAAUUAACCAACUUCCGUUGUGAGAAUUAUCUAAGUUAAAAUCCUAGAAUUCCAAAUUCCUUUGCAAACCCUAAAGAUUUAAACCAGCUUUAAUGCUCAAGUUCGAUAUGUUCACAAAGUAUCUAAACCAAAUUCCUUUGCGAAUAGCUACUUUGCUCACCCUAGGUUCUUUCCAGUUAUUCAAUUACACUUCCGUGUCAAUUAAGCAACCUAAGAUCUAAGUGCUAGGUGGCCAAUCCAGAAUUAGCUUUAAGAACAACCUAUGGUGAAGAACUAAAUAGAUUAUGAACCCUAACUAACCAAUCAAUCUAACAUCCAAUGAAAUCCUUUAUGAGAACCCUAAACCUAACAAGCAAACUACUCAGACAUGGAGAUUGAAGCAAUAAGCAUCAAUGAAUAGAUUGCAGAAAACAGUAAAUAGAUUAAUAAACAGGGGUUCGAAAUCUUCUCUCUCCGGAACAGAGUUUCAGACUUGUCUCCCCAAAAACUCUCAAAAACAAAAACUCUCUCUAAGAAAAUCUAAGGUAAUCGUAAAAAGGGAAUAAAAGCCCUAUAUAUAUCUCUAAGACACGUUUUGGGCUUCCUUGAAAACGUUUGGGCCCAACUCCUUCUUCAAAUAGGAAACAAAAUCACGUUUUCCUUAUUUCUGCAACAAGUGUCGCGCGUCACUCUCCAUGGUGUCGAGCGUCACUAAAGCACAAAAUCCAUACUUGACGAAUUUGAUCCUGAUUAAGCUCCAAAGUGCUCCAAAGUCUCCAGUUAAGCUCCAAACGUACCUAUGACCUGAAAAGACUCCAAAAGACUCGAAAGACACUAAAAAGACUCUAUAAAUAAGACUUAUACCAUGGUUAAAAACCAUAAAAACCAUGAUAUAUCAUUUGUCUCACAUUGCUAGUUUUUAACUCAAGGUUGACUAAUGUACGUAUUUUUAGGCAGAUGAAUAAAUCACUUCCGCAAAUUACUUUGACAUGGUAUCAGAGCCUAAGACUACAUAAAAUUUUGGUCUAGCUCUUGAAUCAGAGCCUAAGGCUACAUAAAGUUUUGGUCUAGCUCUUGAUUCAAAUUCUUGUUUAUAAGUUGUGGUUUAUUGGAAAAGCAAACCGACGAGGUCUUGCUCUUUUAUUUUUGGUGAACUCGGACCAACGAGGUUCGGGAUUUCUGUAAAGCCAUAAGGGCUUGGAAUUUUUUUAUUCGGUGGAGAAACCUUGGGAAUUUCUCUGUUUUUUAGAAAAUAUGAGAUUUCAGAGUUGAGGAAUUAAGUGUUCUUAUUGUUCGAAGUAUGGUCAUGAUAUGAGAUCAUGUUAUCAGGUAUAUGGAUAUCCAGAUUGGUAGCUGGAGAAGUAUGAAAAACCUACGAAACAUGUGUCACACUCUGAAAAACGUGUGUCACACACGGAGGCGUUACAGGUUGAUCCACAAGCUAUGACAGGGCUCAAGAAAGAUCAAUGGCAUAAGCUUGUUCGAUUCGAGAUUAGAGAUAGCAAAUUGUGUGAGUGAUAACACCUAUACAGAUAAGUGGAUUAUUGAUAGUGGUGCGUCGCACCAUAUGAUGGGUACGUUAAUUGGUAUGUUUGAUGUGCAUAAAGUCUCACCAUGUUUAGUGGGUCUGCCUAAUGGAAAUGUUAUGGUUGCUGUUAGAAAAGGAAGUGUGGCAUUGACGGAGAACUUAACUUUGACACAUGUGCUUUUUGUCAAGUAACUCAAGUACAAUCUCAUCUCUGUGUCACAGAUUAUUGAUCCAAUGAAUUGCAUUGUGUUGUUCUCCAAGCAAAUGUUUCGGAUACAGGAUCUUGCUUUGCAAAUUCUGAUUGCAGUGGGUGAAAGAAAAGAUGGAUUGUAUUUUCUUCAAGGUAUUCAGAAGACCGUGAAUGUGGCGAAGGUCAGUAAGUUGGGAUCUUUGGAACUUUGGCAUAAAAAGAUGGAACAUGCUUCUGAAAAGGUUAUUAGGAGAUUGCCAGAAGUGGAUCAAAAGAGUGUUAGUGUUUCCGAUUGCGAUGUCUGUUUCCGAGCAAAGCAGUGUCAGGAUGUAUUUCCUGUGAGUACAGAGAAAAGCAAAGAAUGCCUUGAGAUGAUUCAUUGUGAUUUGUGGGGGCCAUAUCGAACACAGAGCGUGUGUGGAUCCUUAUAUUUUUUAACUAUCGUGGAUGAUUAUUCUAGAACUGUGUGUGUUUUUCUUCUUGCUGAUAAAACACAAGUUCAUAAAACAAUGGUAAAUUUCUUUGCUCUCAUUCAGCGUCAGUUUGAGAAACAUGUGAAAAUCGUGCGAAGUGAUAAUGGUAGUGAAUUCAUGGGUAUGAAGGAGUAUUUUUGUACAUCAGGGAUAAUUCAUCAAACUUCGUGUGUAGGAACUCCUCAACAAAAUAGUAGAGUGAAGCGAAAACAUCAACAUAUACUGAAUGACGCACGAACGUUGAGGUUUUAGGCAAAUUUACCAAUAGAACUUUGGAGUUAUUGUGCUUUGAGUGCUGCGUAUCUAAUUAAUCAUACGCCUUCUAUGUUACACAAUGGUAAGAGUCCUUAUGAAAUCAUCUUUGGAAAAGCUCCUGCUUAUAGUGAGAUACGAGUUUUUGGAUGUUUAGCGUAUGCUCAUAAUCAGAAACGUCAUGGAGAUAAAAUUGCGAGUAGAAGCAUAAAAUGUGUAUUUUUGGGAUACCCUUAUGCAAAGAAGGGAUGGAACUUAUUUGACUUGGAGACACGUGAGAUCUUUGUUUCUCGGGAUGUCACUUUUAUUAAGGAACGAUUCCCAUAUUUGGAGCUAACAAAUGCACAGCUGGAUGUGCCUUCUAAUUCUAAUCAAAUGAGGUUAUAUGUGGAUGAUAAUGCUGGAUUUGACGAUAUAGAACCUGCCUUGACAAGGGAAAUUAUAUAACCUCUCACAAGAGAUACAAUGACACAGACUCAGGUUGUGUCAGACAAGGUUGCAGAAGAAAAAAAAUAGACUAUAGGAAACGAAAUACGUGAUAUCUUAGGAAUUACAGCGCCAAAAAUUGAACCUGCAUCGGUUACACAGUCUGAGAUUGUGCAGCCUGCUUUAGUGACAGAACCUGCAUUGGUUACACAGUUUGAGAAUGUGCAGUCUGCUUUAGUAACAGAACCUGCAUCGGUGACACAGGCUGAAACUAUGCAACAGCCUGCAUCAACAGAAACUUUGGGGCGAGGAAUGAGAAAGAAAGAAUCUUCUGUCAAGUUACGCGACUAUGUGUGCAAUACGACAUUUACAAUGAAUAUUUCCACUGUGAGUCAGGAGUUGAGUAAUGAUUAUGGUAUUGAGAAUUAUGUAAAUUGUGAAAGGUUCUCUGUGUCACACAAGGCAUUUCUGUGUAGUAUAACUGAAGGAGUUGUGCCGAAAAGUUUUGCUGAGGCCAUGAAGGAUCUGCGAGAUCUGCGAUGGAGAGAAGCUAUGAGACUCGAAAUUGAGGCCCAAGAACGAAAUCAAACAUGGUUGAUUGAACAAGUACCACCAGGUAAGCAUGUGAUUGAGUGUAAAUGGGUUUAUACAAUUAAGUAUAAUGCGGAUGGCUUGAUUGAAAGGUAUAAGGCGAGACUCGUGGCAUGUGGCAAUCGUUAAAAAGAAGGGAUUGAUUAUUCUGAUACAUUUGCUCCUGUAGCAAAGAUGAGCACAGUUCGAUUGGUUCUUCAAGUUGCCGCUGGGAAAAGUUGGGAGCUACAUCAGAUGGAUGUGUAAAAUGCGUUUCUUCAUGGAGAUUUGGAUGAAGAGGUUUUUAUGAGGGUACCUCAGAGUUUUGGUGCUUCUAAGAAGGGUAUGGUAUGUCGUUUGCGCAAGUCGUUGUAUGGUUUGAAACAAGCUCCGCGAUGUUGGUUCGUGAAACUUUCGAAGACAGUUUUAGGGUACGGUUUUACACAGAGUAAGGCUGAUUACUCUCUUUUCUCAUUAGUUUGUGAUAAAGUUCACUUGCACGUUCUAGUGUAUGUGGAUGAUCUUGUGGUGACAGGAAACUCUCUUGAGGUGAUACAAAAGUUUAAAACGUAUUUAAGCAAUUGCUUUCAUAUGAAGGAUUUGGGAAAAUUGAAAUAUUUUCUUGGAUUGGAAGUUGCAAGAAAUGCAGAGGGUAUAUACUUAUCACAGAGAAAGUAUGCUCUGGAUAUUAUUGCUGAUGUCGGUUUGCUUGGUGGUAGGCCUGUAGAGUUUCCGAUGGAGCAAAAUCAUCAGUUGGGAAGGUCGACGACAAAUAUUUUGAUUGAUCCAAAGAAAUAUUGGAUACUGGUUGGAAGGUUGAUUUACUUGGCUGCGACUAGACCAGAUCUUGCCUAUUCAGUUCACAUUUUAUCUCAAUUUAUGAAUGAGCCAAGAGAAGAUCAUUGGAUGGCUGCAUUGAGAGUUGUUUGUUACUUGAAAGGGUGCCCGGGAAUGGGGAUUUUGUUGAAAUCUGAUUGUAAUUUUCAUCUUACAGCUUGGUGUGAUUCAGAUUGGGCUGGAUGUCCAAUCACGAGGAGAUCUUUGAGUGGAUAGUUGAUAAAAUUGGGAAAUUCUCCUGUGUCAUAGAAGUCAAAAAAGCAAGAUGUUGUAUCAUGCUCUUCAACUGAAGCAGAGUAUCGAGCUAUGGUUUUGGCAUUGAAGGAGUUGAAGUGGUUAAAGAGUGUGUUGUUAACGAUGGGUAUUGCACAUUCUGGUCCAAUGGAUUUAUAUUAUGACAGUCAGUCUGCGCUUCAUAUUGCAGCUAAUCCUGUGUUUCAUGAGAGAACAAAACAUGUGGAGAUUGAUUGUCAUUUCAUUCGAGACGAUAUACAAGCUGGAAUUGUUCAGACCCAACAUGUUUCUACUACUCAACAGCUGGCGGAUAUCUUCACUAAAGCACUUGGAGGACGUCCGUUCAAAGGAAUUUUGUGCAAGUUAGACAUUCGAGAUCUUCAUGCUCCAACUUGAGGGAGGGUAUUAAGAGAUAUUAGGAGCUAUUAGGCUUAUUGCGCCUUUAUUUAUUAGAAUUAUUAGAGUAAUUUGUCUUACAUUGCUAGUUUCUAAGUCAAGAUUGACUAAUGUACUUGUAUAUAUAUGUGCAUUUAGGCUGAUGAAUAAAUCACUUCGGAAAAUUACUUUGACAUCUUGAACCAAAAAAAGUCUUGGAUGCAGUCCAUAGAGCCAUUUCGCGAACCACGUCAUGCAUCACAACACCUCUUCUACUAUUAGACUCUGUCAGUAAAUUUGAGUGGAUAAGGGUAUCAAGUACCACAUAACCCUUAUUCAUUGCCCUUUUAUAAGAUUUGUGUUCCCCCGAUGAAUCCCUCGCACAUCCAGUACUCUAUCAAUUCUUCUUUACUUAUUUGAAAAUCUUUUGACAAAGCACAAUAGAGGAAAUACGACUUGAUGUUGUUGAAACGUAAUCGUACUGAUUGAGCUCAAGCAACGACAAACUCUCACUCUAUUGAACUCUCUCUCUCUCUCUCUCUGAAGAUUCGCAUGAGUAUAAACGAGAGAAAGACGAAGAACACAGAGCACACGAUUUGAUUACCCAAAGUUCACCUCCUAGAUGAAGGCUACGUCUCUGGGGCCAGAUCUCGAGACGGCAAUUCCACUAACACGAAAAAAUCACAAGUCUCCAAGAACCGAGAGCUCGCGAGAAAGAAGACGAUAAGGUUUGUUACAACUGUGCUAACGGCUAGAUCCUAAUCCUUUUUAUAUACAAGAGGCUUACAACAAAACCGGAUAUUAACCAGAACCAAAUUAUAUCCUCUUAAUUGGACCAAUACUUGAUAACCAACUAAGAUGACUAACCAGUCUAAACCCAAACAUUAAUCUAGCCGUUAUACCAGAAUUGAAACUUAGACCAUAAUUCAACAGAUGUGUUCACCCACCAAGCUAUCAUAGCUGUACUUCAGAAUUAGAAGAAUUUUGUUUUCCAUGUCGGAAAACUCUGCAGCGGAUCUGGUCAAGACAUCGACUGCAAGCUCCCAUUCUUGUACCGUAGUUUGAUAUGACAUUGUCUCACCGAUGGCAAUUAGCGCUAGUGGCAGACCACAACAACUUUCAGCAACCUUUCUUGCGAGCUCGACAAUUUCAGGAUCACUUUUCAAAGUAUUGCCACCGACCAUUUUUUCAAACAAUUCCCAUGCUAUAUGUUUUUCCAGACAGUUGACUUGCAUUGGUUCAUGAUCCCCCAUCCGCUUACACACUUCGAGAGAACGAGUGGUGAAAGCUACUGUGCAUCCAUUGUGGGAAACGGAACACCAAUAGCUUCUAAAUCAACUUUCUCCCAUAUAUGAUCUAGCAUCAGAACAAAUCGCUUCCCUUUUAAAACUCUAGUUAUAUCAGCGGCCUUGUCACCUUCGUUUUUGUUCGUACACUCGCCGUCGCAAAGGUGUAGCUUUUGUGCAAUAUCUUCUUGAAGCUUUGAAAUAUUUGUGCCUUGAGAUACCACGACCCAGAUGAUAACUUGACACCCACCAGCCAUUUCACCGAACUUAUUGUGAAUUUUUUUUGAAAAGUGUAGUUUUUUCAACACCACCCAUACUGUGCAGGCCCAUGAUUCCGACUCCAUCUUUCAUAAGACGAUUCCAUGCCACUUCAAGCAUUAUUUCUAGGCCAAUCGUAGGCCCUGAAGGCCUGACUUCCACUACAGAUCUUGUAAGCGGCUCAGAUACCUCUUUAAAAUCACCUUCCAAUUUGAGAAUCUUAACUUCAUCCAACAACAAGAAUACAUUUUUCCCAAAUAGCUUGAGAAUACACUUUUUGAGCAUAAACCGCAGAGACACAACUUUGGAAGCUGAAUAGUACUAGUACUGAGCAGUUCAGUUACUCGUGUAUGGAUGCUCUCGACACAGUUACAAUAUAGAAGAAUCUAGAAGAUUCUAGAUAUUAUUGUUAAUAUUGUGUAUAUUAUUAUUUAGAUAUUAUAGAGAUUUGUAUCUAUCUUCUUUAGAAAAGAUCUAUGGUAUAAAUAUGUAUCUACUCUAUUCAUUAUAAUUAUGAGAGUCAAUAUACAUUACAAUUCUUCCAAUUCUAAACUCUCAUCACUCUAGUAGGUCAAGCCUUUUUCGAUGUUGUGUCUCCUCUAAUGCAACUCUGUUUUUCACCUGUUGUUGAAAUGCUUUGAGAUCUUCCAUUUCCCUCUGAAAAGUUCUUCUUGAGGUUUAGGAUAUAACCUUUACCAAGUAAGCAUCUAAAGAUACCAUUUACUGCUCCAUCACAAGAAAAAUUUGACACCCAAUUCUUAAUAGAUUAUAUGGUUACUGGUUUGUAGAUUUGUACAUUCUUAAUCGAUUCCACUAUUAUUCGUAAAUAGAUUAUAACAUUCUUUAAAAAUCCAUUGUUAUUGGUUUGAUGAUUUUUAUAAUCUAAUCAAAAUUCAUUGUUCUUCAAAAAGUUUAUAUUUUAAUGAUUUUAUAAUUAUAUUAAAAGCUAGUGUUAUUGGGAUAAAAAUUCUUUACAAUUCAACUCAUAAAUCAAGAUUUUUAAAAUACUAUCUAUAUCUAUUGAAUUCUUAAAAUCUGUCAUAGUAAAAUUAUUUUGUAAAUUGUUUUAAAUCCACAACACUCUCUUCAAAUUUUACAAAUCUAACAAAACUCUUGAAGAUUUGACUAAUCUUAUUACUUUUUAAAUCAACCAAAAUCUGUCAUAUGAUUUAAGGUGAUCCAGCUCUAUCUAUGCGCCACGUCAGCCUUUGUAAGGAGGACACAUCUCCCAUCUUUUAAUGCUUUUAUUUCAUCUUCUUCCCCCUCUAUUUUAUCUCAUAUUCCUUGUCUCACAGUGGCUCAAUCUCUCUUUUAUUUGUUUGCCAAUUUUGGGGAUUUGAAGACGGAAUAAAGAUUAAACUUUUUCUCAUAUUGUGUUCUAUGCAAUAUUCAAAUUAAGAUGAGAUGUGGAAAAAUCGUUAUAAAGAGGUUCUAGAAUGUGAAUAGCAGGCAAGUUACCUUCUCUAAGAGGCAUGAUGGGUUGUUUAAGAAGGCUCAUGAGUUAUUUGUUCUUCGCGACACUUUUAUCUCCGUCUUUUUACUCAUAUUAUGUUUAUGAUUUCUAGAAUAGUAGAAUAAUUUUCUUACUUACCCUACUUUCAAUCCUUAAAAAAAGUUAUUUGUUUGAUAAAGAUUUUAAUAAAAAAAAAACAAAUACCAAACAAUCAAGCAAAUUACCAUAUUUUUAUAAUUAACUACAUAUAUAUAUAUAUAUAUAUAUAUAUCAACACAAAUUAUUUUUAAAAAUAUUAUGUAAAACAAAACUCGCGCGUAUGCGCAGGUACAAGCCUAGCCUUUAUAAAUCCAAAUUCCAAUAACCUCUCUUAGCAUAAAUAAUAGAAAUGAUAAAACUAAAUAAAAUAAAUAAUUAACUUUAGAGUCGAUUACAACAUUCUCGAUUGUUAGACCAACAACAACUUCAUUUUGUUUUUUUUUUUGCAAAGUCUUAUAAUAUUCACCUUUUUUUUUAAAUAUUCUCCAAAAAAAUUUUAAUCAGAGAUUGAGUUGGAAAAAAAUAAAUUUUGGAAACAAAGAUUAUAAUUAGUUCAAAAAUGCUACCUUUUAAAAAAUGAUGAGUAAAAUAGAAGACAUUUCUUCUUAUAUAGAGGCUAAUCGUAGGGAUUCCAAUUAUGUUAUAUAGAUUUUCAAAAAUUUUGAUUUUUUAAAAAAUAAUCAGUAAUAAACAGAAAAAAUAUAAAAUAUGUUUGAUAACUAUAUUAGGUAACAACCAAAUUUCAUCUGCAUUAUAUUUGAAAAACUUAUAACUGAUAUUUUUGCAAGAUAGAUUUUUGUUUUUGUCUUGAAUAUUUUUUUUUAAAUGGUUAAACUACAAUGAUUUUUCCAAAAGUAUAAAAAAUCAGAAAAUAAUCGAUAAAAAUAUUGAAUGCAUAGUUUUAGUUAAAUAUUUUUCAAUUAUAAGCAAAUAGUUUUCGUCUCAUGCGCCGCGUGAACCGUGAAGUAUCUAUAAAAUAUUACUAAACAUGAUUUAAUUGAUUUAAAAUAUAAAUAAUUUAAUUGAUUUUAUAUGUAUGUUAAUAAUAUUAUGAUGAGUAAUGAUAUGAUUUUGUAUUAGUAUUACAAUUACAAAUAUAUAAUAGAACUAUAAGAUUUUAUUAUUGAUUUUCAUAUUGCUUUUGUUUUUCUUUUUUUUGUCGACUGCUUUUGUUUUAAAUAUGAAUGUAAUUAUAUAGUUAAUAGUUUAACUGAAAAAUCGAUAUAUUUUAUUGAAUAAAAAUUUUAGUAAUUUAUUUUGUUUUGUUUUUUCAAAUUCAAAUUAUCGCAUAUGCAUAAAAAUAUUAAAUUUUUAUAUGUUUGAUGUGAUAAUUAAUUCAGAAAAAAGUAAACAAAGAAAUAAAAAAAUAUAUAAUGAUUUAAAAAUAAUUCUUAUUAUAUAAUUGAAUAAGGAUUGAAUAUAAGAAAAUAAUUAAUAUGAUAUAAUUAAAUUUCAGAUAUUUUUGAUUCUAUUUGAUUGGCUAAUACAUAUGCUUUGAAAUUAUUUACUAGUUUUUGUGUGUCUAAUCAAAGAAAGAAAGAUUUUUUAAAAAAUUACUUUUAAUGAUUAGUUUAAUAAGAUAUAUUUGAUUUUUUAAUCAAAUUAAUAUGAAUGGAAUUAAUUAUAAUUAUUCUAGUAAUAUAAGUCUUUUUUUUCCAAAAAAAAUUGAGAGCAUAGCAAAAUUGUUAAUAUUACAUAUGACAAAUGUUAUUUUUAAAGUGUUUUUCUCAAAUAAUAAUAUAAAAGAUUUCAAAUUUCCACCGACAAUCAUUGACUUUGGAUUAUGAAAAUUUGUGAAAAACAAAUUACAACUCUUCAUUAACUUUACAUGUAUCCCAUUAAUUUAAACUGGUUAUACAAAUACUGUUGGCAUUCAAAUCCCUGCUCAAUGAAAAUAAACCCGUUGAUCAAAGAGUUAAAAAACAAAACAAAAAAGUGAAAAGCGAAGGAAAAGCUAGAUAACGAGCUAAAACAAGGGAACAAGACGUCAAGACCCCUACAUAUACAAAAGCAAACCCCUACGAGAACAACAAAACAAAACAGUACACUUGCAGAGAGAUAAGAAUGCAAAGGAUACAAAAGCAUAAAACAAUUUGAAUUGGUUUUAGUUUGACAAGGAAGCAACCCGUCUUAAGUUAUACAAUAGGAGAAUGAAAUACCUAAUCCAAGUGGCGUCACAACACACUUGCAGAGAGAUAAGAAUGCAAAGGAAAAACAAUAAUAGGAUAAUACAAUCCAUAUGAACAACACAUCACACAUCAAACAAUAAUACUCUGAAGAUCCCCUUUUACAUACGCAAAAACAUAAAACUAUUUGAUUUGCUUUAGUUUGAGAAGGACGCAAUCCGUCUUAAGUUGAUACAAUAGGAAAAUGAAAAACAUAAUCCAAGUGAACAACACAAAACACUGCAGAAGGAUACGAAUCAGUAAUGAUAUCCAAAAUGAACACAUCACACUACAAGAUCAAAGACAGAAGACGAAGAUGCGUAGAUUCUGUUCUUAGUGCCGAAUCCUUAUGCAUAGUGAAGGAUGUUUAGUAGACCUAAAGCAACAAACGAUGAAAAAAAAGAAACAAAAGUUAGUGAGUGACACUUGCGGGGCUCAUUGAAAUUGAGAGGCACAAGCAUAUUGAGUAUAUAUAAAUCUUAAGAAUCUGAACUACUUUUAGUCGUUUUCUUUUAAUAUUUCUAACCUCCCAUUUAUUUCUUGCUGAACAAGAAACCCAGAUGUGGAAGGAAAAGAAGAAGAAAUUGUUUGUGAUUUGAUCCUUUGAAGAGAUCAAUACACAUAUGUUUUUACAUUUUGAAAUAAUGAAACUAAUCCACCGAACACAUGCAUGACUUUUCUAAUAUUUUUUUUUUAUCAUGUUGUCCAAUUUGUGUUUGUCGGGUAUAUCAUGAUGCAAAUGGAGAGUAUCAGUCUAAUAAGGGUGAAUACUUCAAGCUAACCUAUAGCAAACAUGAAAAAAACUCAGAGAUGAAAAAAAUAAAAACCAAAGCGGAAGGGUAUUAAGAGAACUGAUUACCAGAUGGAUUAAAGGCAAUAAACGGUUUUUGGUAUCUUCGUCCUCCCAUUCAAGCUCAGUUAUCUCUUGUCCAUGACCCAUAUCUAUUGUAAACCGGGCAAGUCGUGGGACACUUGUAGCAUCAAAGGGAAGCUUUCUCAGAUUUGGACACUCUAGUACGCUUGUGUGCCACAAUGAUGGAAAGGGGAGAGGACUCCAAUAGAUACUCUCCAGCUUAGGCAAACUUGUCAGCGAUAAGAAUUCAAGUUUCUGAAAUGGUGUAAUACCUGUAAGAUUGUUUGCUUUCUCUUUGUUUAUUAUUUCUUCCACUUCGUUUGAAUAUUCAAUUUGUAGGUAGACAAGAUUUGGAGCAAACAAUAGCCAAGUCAUAUCCUUAAAGCCAAUACAGCCAUAGAUAUGCACAAACAAGAGGUUUGUAAAGCAUGGACUUGUCGGAUUGUCUAGAUCUGACAAGUCCGUCCCGCCUUCUCUGCAUUUUGUAUUAAUCUCCGAGAUAUGACUAUUUUCCAGCCAGAGCAUACGAAGAUUCUUCAUACUCACCAGCAAUGACAUAUUCAAUGGCUUUUUAUAAAAAGAUUGAAUACACAGACCAUUGAUGCAGUUCGCCAACUUUUGAUCCCCUAAUAUUUGCUCCAAACCCAAUUCCGUAGAUAUCGUUAUGGUUAGAACUUGUAGAUGCUCCAAGAUCUGUAGCUCCUUCACUGAGCUAACAUCUCCAUGAACAUUGGACUUUAGUAGUUUCAAAAUUCUUAAACUCGAAACCUUUGAUAUCUCACUGAUACUCCGAAGUCUGUGUGUAGAAGUCAAAUUUAGCUGGAUUAGCUUUUUCAACUCUUGGAAACCAACAGGCAGUUGCUCUAUACUUGUAUUCGACAAGUCAAGAUACUGUAAGGAGGUCAGCUCUGAUAUCUGCUCUGGAAGUUAAUUGAAGUUAUUAUUACCGGAUAAAUCCAAAACAAGUAGUUUUUGCAUAGAAAGGAUGAAUUCACUUGAGAGACUCUUCAAUUUAUUAUCCUGGAAAAACAUAGUUGUAAGUUCAGAACACUUGGAACAGCAACUAAUCUCUUCUAUCGCAUUACACAUUAAUGAUAAAAUUCUCACAGGUCUCCAAUCUUCAACUUUUGGUGUCUCACGUAAUCCGACUCGCGCUUGCACAACACAAAUUUCUUUCGGUUUUCCAAAGUCAGAUGCAAUCCAUAGAGCCAUUUCGCGGACUAUGUCAAUGAUGAUAGACUUAUUCGUAGAUUUUCAUUAAUGGUAGAUUUAUUUUCCUAGUAGUGGUAGAUUUAUUGUCAAAUGAUGAAAGAUUUAUUUUUGUAUAGGUUUAGUAUACAGUAGAUUUAUUUUUGAUAUAAUGAUAGAUUUAUUUUGGAUUUUAUGUAUUUAUCUUCUUCUCUAGUAGGUUAUUGACGACGAAUGGUGGAUCAAAAGAUAAAUAAUAUGAUGGAAGUGGAGUGAGUUACUAGCACGGAAAUGGAGAUUUGUUUAUCAAAAAAAAUAUUUGUAGAUUUGUUUGCUUGAAUAGUGGUAUUUGUUUAUUUAAUGGUAAAUUUAGUUUAGGAUUUGAUAGAUUUAUUCGAAAUGGUAGUAAAUUUCUUUUUAAAUAAUAAUUUAAUAAUUGCUUAGUAGUAUAAUCAAAAUGAAUGAGAUAUAAACUAAAAACAUAUGAUACAACCCAAUAAUAUAAAACAAAUUAAAAUACAUAUUCAUUUUAUAUACCAAAAAAGAAAAUAAACAAACACAAAUAAAUAAAAAACCAUUUGUCAUUUCUAACACAAUCAAGCAUUGUCUAGCAAAUAACCAAAUAUCAUAAAUGGUUCAAUGUAGAUUAAAGUAAUAAUACAACUUUUCAUUUGUUAUUGACAUUUUAGUACUUCAAAAAAUUCAUAUAUCAAACUAAAUCAGUCCUUAUAAUUAAAUGCAUUUUUCAAUUAAUUUUAAACCCACUUUUCCUCUAAUAUCCCAUAGGAUAUCACCGAGGAGGUAGGUGGUCUUACUUUGCUAAGCUUCAAAUUGUAUUGUCUUCACUUUUCAGUAUAAGACUAAUAAACAUUUAGUUUACAAUUUUGAAUUUUCUAAAUGGAGUAGGCCGAGAUCAGGUCCAGGCUAUUGAUGCGAACAAAUCUUACAAAUUGCAAACGGCUAUUUGCUUUGUGUUAGCAUUGGUCCAUUGAAUUUUCAAUUUUUUUAAUAACUUAUAUUGAGUCAUAUGGAAAUGGACAACACUCAGCGGUAUCAGUUCUUAUCAGCACCGCUGCUUUGUAUGUAGUCGCCGUCUGCUUUGUAUCGUAAAAGAAAGAAGAUUGAGUUUUGCCAGAAUCUACUCUACAAGAUUGUUGUAGUUUCUGGACACGCAGCUAAUUCAAAUGACGAACCAAUGUUCAAUGUUCAAGACCGGUGGGCAGUGAAUAAUUGAGCGUAUCAAAUUAGGCUUGCGAAUUUGUUUUUUGCUGAAGAUUUGUUCUUGGGCUCUUGUUUUAAUGUUCUUAAUGUGGUGAAGCCAUUAGGAAAGGAAUGUGAAAACUCUUAAAAUUAAGAAGACUCUUUCCAUGUCUUCUUAAGUGAAGUUGUCUCUUAAGCUUAUUGCCCCAAAUCAGAAAGCCACUAGAUAUAGUUUGGGAUUAGAUGGAAGUCAUAGCAUCUUCAGAUUAGGUUUAGGGGGUUUAAAUUAGAGAGUCUGAUAAACAGGAUCUUCAUGAUUCAGCAAAAUCAUAUAACUUUUCAUCUUGAUUCCUCCUGUUAACAACACAUAUACACUUCAAGAUGAAAUAGAAAAAGCUACAGGUAGAGGAAUUUGAUUUUGGAUAGUGAGGAAUCAAAAUACACAGUAAAUUCAGAGGCAUCACAUGCUUUUAUGAUAUCUCCUUUCACGUAAAAGCAUAAAAACUGUUGAUUAUAUAAAUACAUGUAGCUUGAGAAAAAAGCAAUCCGCCUUAACUUAUUACAUAGAAAAUUGAAAAUAGAAAAUCCAAUUGAACAACACAACACACUGCAGAGAGAGAGAGAUAAGAAUGCAUAGAAAAAACAAUAAUACAAUCCAAAUGAACAACACAUCACACUUUGAGGAAGAAAGAGAAAGCAGAAGAAGAAGCGUGGAUUCUGGUUUCUGACUGUGAGGAAUCCCAAUCCAGCUUCUGGUGUGGUUAGUCUAUACUGAAUAUGUUAAGAAGAAAUAAAAUAAACAAAGUUAGUGAAUAUUCAGAAAUUCAUCUAAGACUGCUAGGAAUAUCCAGCAAAUUCUGCCUCACCAUUAAUAUACUAAUUUUAACCAGUUUCUAUUAAAUAUUUUUAUAUAUGCCUUGCUUAACGAAUGUGAAAGGAAAAGAAGAAGAAAGAAAAUACUGUUUGUGAUUUAGUCAUUUGAAGAGCUCAAUGCACGUAUGUAUUUAAACUUUUGAAAUUGACCCCUCGUAAAUAUCCAACAAACACAGGUCUGAUGAUUUUGCAGAUAAUUUUCUAAUUUUGUGACCCAAUUUGUGUUUUGUUGGGUAUCAUGAUGCAAAUGGAUCAUAUCAGACUAAAAUAAAACGAUCACACUUCAUUCUAACCUUGAGCAAACUUGACAGAAACUCAGUAAGAUAAAUUAAUUUAUUCAAGCGGAAGAGAAUAAGAGAAAUGAUUACCCAAAUGACCGAUGGCAGGAAACGUUUUUUUGUAUCUUCAUCCUCCCAUUCAAGCUCAGUUUUCUGUUCUGGAGGAACCAUAGAUAUUUCAAACCCGUCAAGUCGUGGGACACUUGUAGCAUCUAAAGGAAGCUUUCUCAGCUUUGGACAAUUUCCUACAUAUAUGUACCGCAAUGAUGGAAAGGGGAGAGGACUCCAGUAGAUACUCUCCAGCUCAGGCAGAUUUCUCAGGGAUAAGUAUUCUAGUUUCUGAAAUGGUGUAGUACUUGUAAGAUUGGUUGCUUUCUCUUUGUUUAUGAUUUCUUCUACUUCUCCUAAAUGUGAAAUGUCUAGCCAAGUCAGAUUUGGAGCAAAGAGUAGCCAAGUCAGAUCCUUAAUGCUAUCGCAGUUUCUCAUAUUCACGGCGGAGAGGUUGGUAAAGCAUGGACUCGUCUUGCUUCCUCUGCAUUUAAUAUAUGUAUCAAUCGCCGACACAUGACUACCAUCCACCUGGAGCAGACGAAGAUUCUCCAUACUCAACAGCGAUGACAUAUUGAAUGGCUUUUCUUUAAAACCUUGAAUACCCAGACGACUGAUGCAGUUAGCCAACCUUGGAUCGCCUAAUAUAUGCUUCAAACCCAACUCGGUAGAGAUCGUUAUCUCUAGAACUUGUAGAUGCUCCAAGAGCUGCAGCUCCUUCAACAAGCUAACAUCUCCAUGAACUUUAGAAUUUCUUAGUUUCAAAAUUCUUAAACUCGACAGCUUUGAUAUCCCACUGAUACUACGAAGACUGUUUGUAUAAGUCAAAUCCAGAUGAAUUAGCUUUUUCAACUCUUGGAAACCAACUGGCAGUUGCUCUAUACUUGUGUUUGACAAGUUAAGAUACUGCAAGGAGGCCAGCUUCGAUAUCUGCUCAGGAAGUUUUUGGAAAUAGCGAUUAUCUGAUAGAUCCAAAACAACUAGCUUUUGCAUAGAGCCGAUGAAUUUACCUGAGAGAUUCAUCAACUCAUUCUUCUGGAGGAGCAGAGUUGUAAGUUCAGAACACUUGGAACCACAGGUUAUCUUUUUAAGCUCAUUCUUCAUCAAAGACAUCCUUCUCACAGCUCUCCAAUCCUUGACUUUUGGCAUUUCGUGUAAUCCGACUCCUGCUUGAACCAAAAAAGUCUCUUUCUGUUUCCCAAAGUCGGAUGCAAUCCAUAGAGCCAUUUCGCGAACCACGUCAUGCAUCACAAGAUUCACAACACAUCUUAGUUUCAAAAUUCUAUUAGACUGUUCUGUCAGUAAAUUUGCGCGGAUAAGGGUACCAAGUACCUCAUAACCCUUAUUCACUGCCCUUUUAUAAGAUUGGUGUUCCCCAAUGAAUCCCUCACAUAUCCAAUAUUCUAUCAAAUUUUCUUUAUGUAUAGGAAAAUCUUCAGGAAACAGAGCACAAUAGAGGAAACACGACUUGAUAUUUUCACCCACCAAGCUAUCGUAGCUGAACUUCAGAAUCGGAAGAAUUUUGUUUUCCAUGUCGGAAAACUCUGCAGCUGAUCUGGACAAAACAUCGACUGCAAGCUCCCAUUCUUGUACCGUAGUUUGAGAUGACAUUGUCUCACCAAUGACAACAAGCGCUAGUGGCAGACCACAACAUUCUUUAGCGACCUUUUUGGCAAGCUCGACAAUGGCAGGAUCUCUACUUAAUGUAUUGUCUCCUACCUUGCUUUUGAACAAUUCCCAUGCUUCAGUCCAUUCCAAACAGUUGACUUUCAUCGGCUCAUGAUCUCCCAUCCGCCCACAUACUUCCCGAGAACGAGUGGUGAAUGCUACUUUGCAUCCAUUUUCUCUGGUCGGAAACGGAACUCCAAUGGCUUCUAAAUCCACUUUCUCCCAUAUAUCAUCUAACAUCAGAACAAAUCUCUUCCUCUUUAAAACUCUGUGUAUAUCAGCGGCCUUGUCAUCUUCACUUUUGUUCGUUCCGCCAAGGUUUAGCUUUUGUGCAAUAUCUUCUUGAAGCUUUGAAAUAGUCGCACCUUGAGACACCACGACCCAGAUCACAACAUCAAAUCUACCAGCCACUUCAGUGAACUUAUUGUGGAUUUUCUUGAAAAGGGUAGUCUUGCCUACACCUCCCAUACCGUGCAAACCCAUGAUUCCAACUCCAUCUUCCAUAAGGCGAUUCCAUGCCUUUCCCAGCAUUGUUUCCUGACCAAUCGUAGGCCCCGUAGGCCUCUCUUCUACUGCAGAUCUCAAACCCGGCUCAGUAACCUCUUUAGAAUUACCCUCUGAUUUGAGAAUCUGGACCUCUUCCAGCAACAAGAAUACCUUUUUCCCAUAUUUGUAGCUCGAACAUACACUUUUUGAACAUAAACCACAGAGACACAACUUCUUAAGCUCAACAGGACUAGUACUAAGCAGAUCAUUGAACCGUGUAUCGAUGCUCUCGACACGUGUUAGCCAUACCUUGACAGCUUCAAGCCUUUGUUGAUGUUGUGCCUCCUCUCUCGCCACUUUGUUCUUCACCUCAGCUUCAAUUGCCUUGAGAUCAUCCAUUUCCCUCUUCAGAGCCCUGAGAUUCUCCUUGAGGUUUCGAAUAUAACCCUUACCACAUAAGCAUCUGACGAUAUGGUUCAACGUUUGAUCACAGGAAAGUUGGAAAGACACACAAUUCCCCAUGGUGAUAGAAAGAGAGAAAACUUUGAGUAAGCAACAAACGAAAGCUAAAGAUGAAGAAGUGUUUUAUGUGAAAAGCAUUUAACUAAUUCUGAAGAAGGAAGAGAGGAUUAGUUAGAUUUUAGUCUACUAUGCGUUUUAAUUUCCGCCAUUGUUUCGAAGGACGUUUAGUCGUUUACUUUAGAUGCAAUUAUGUUUGAAAAAUUCAAAGGUCAAUUACCAACUCUUAUCAUUAUUAAGAUGCAACUAUGUUUUAAAUUAUACAAAGGUCAAUGAUUUAAUCGCCCAGUUUGGAUUAUUAUGCAACUAUGUUUUAAAAAAACAAAGCUCAAUUAAUGUUUAAUCACUGGGUUUGGAUUAUUAUCAUCACUUGUUGUUAAUUAUUUAAAUCAUUCACUUUCAAAUAUUUGUGAAAAAUCAAUUACUUUAGAAUAUUUUCCAAAUGACAUGGGAACCAAUAACCAUGAUCAAAAACGGUGUGGUGCGAUCGCCCGAAGCCAAAAACAACUUACAAGAAAUCUGGAACAGAGCAGACAAUGGAGAAGUCUAAGGAGCUCGUCAAGGAUAGAAAUCUGGAACAGAGCAGACAAUGGAGAAGUCUAAGGAGCUCGUCAAGGCUGAGAACUCAGAAUGGCCUCCAAAUUUUAUCUGCACCUGAAUUCAGAAUGGCCUAACAAAAAGUGCAGAAUGGCUUAUAAAAAUUGCCCAUACCAAGCAAAAAAAAAAAAAAACAAAGUCAGUCAAUAACAGAUAUCAGUCUCGAAGUUGCUUUUUUGUUUCACCAAAAAAAAAAAAAGAAGAAGUUGCUUCUUUUGUGGGAAAAGCAGAGGUCAUAUAAAGGCUAAUUGUUACAAGUUUCAGAGGAAAGUAAAUCAGUUUUAGAAUCAUCAAGACUAUAUGGAAAAACCAUUGAGAUUCACAGAAGCAAAGAAUUUUAUUUUGGACAUUGAGGAAUAAAAAUCUAAAAUCAAAAUCCAAAGGUACAUUGAAGGAUGUUUAGACCCAAAACGGCUACAAAAGAAAAGAAAAAAAAAAGUUAGUGACACUUGUGGAACGCAUUGAAAUUGAGAGGGACAACAUAUUCUGAAAAUAAAAUUCCUUUUCAACAUGUCUGCAGGGAUUAUCCAACUAGUUCAACCUCACCAUUAAUAUCUUAAGAAGCUGAACUAGGUUUAAACGGUCUUGUUGCGGAUAUCACCAAUAUCAAUUCGUUCAAAUUGAGUUUCCGAUCUGAAUCUUAAGAUGAAAUAGAAACGAGAAAUAAGCAUUAGAAACUACACACAAGAUUUAUCCAGUUUAGGCGCCAACCGCGACCCUACAUCUGGCAGAGACUUCCUCGGAAUUCACUAAGAGAAUGGUUUACAGAGUAGCCGUUACUCUCACUGGAAGAUACCCCGAGAAUCCCUUUCACUCACCGGAAAGAUCUCACAGUUUUCACUCACCAAUUACAAAAAAUGGUAUGUCGAAGAAGAUCUCUCUCUCUCUCUCUCUCUCUCUCUCUUUCUCUCUCUCUCUCUCUCUCUCUCUGCAACUAAUUAAUGACCGACCCGUAGUAACAAACCGAAACAACCCCUGCGCGUAAACACACGCUCUAACGGUCACUCUUCGAUAUCAGCUUCUAGAAGAAGCUCGUAACGAUGACGUCUUGGAGUCUUACCUUAUCCGGUUCACUUAAUCCUGAAAUCAAUAUCCUGACUUCAUUAACCGGAACCUGCUAAUUGAACUAGAUGGUUUAUCAACCAAACCCAUCUGACAGGUUUUUUAACUUUCUCUUUUAACAUUUUUCUCCUCCCAUAUAUUCUUUGCUGAACAAGAAACCCAAAUGCCAAAUGUGAAAGAAAAGAAGAAGAAGAAGAAUUAUUUGUGAUUUGAUCAUUGAAGAACUCAAUACACACAUGUUUUAUAAUUUUGGAAUUAAUGAUACCCCAUACAAAUCCACCAAACACAUGUUUAUUUUCAACGUAAUUUUACAGUUUGUGAUCCAGAUUGUGUUUGUUGAGUAUCAUGAUGCACAUAUGGAUCAUAUCAGUCUGAUAAAACGAUUCAGACCUCAUGCUAACCUUGAGUGAAAGAAACUCAGUAGUAAAAAUAAUUACCCAAACAGAAGAGUUUAAAGGCAUCUCCUAUGUAUAAUUCUAUAUUUUACUCUAUUUAGAUACUCUAUUUUAAAGUAACUUCAAAAUGGAAUUGUGUUAUUGUUGACAAUCUUCCCUUCCUCUUACAUUCACUCUGGUUUGAUUUCUUUCUCUCUUUCUCUCUCCUUCCUUUCUCUCAGUCUCUCUCUCUAGUUCUUGCUCUGUUUCACUCAUUGUUAUUGUUUGCUUGUUCUAUAUUGUUUGCUUGUUCUAAGUGAAAACAAGAAGAAAGUUAGAGAAAACAUUUAAUAGGCUACAUCUUUGAUAUUUGAUCUUUCGAUGCUUUUCUUACACAAACACAACACAUACACUUAUACUACUUGAUACUUGAACUCACUUGGACUCUAGACUUAACCACUUCUUCAAUGCCAUACUUCUAGUACUAGACUAGUUGUACAAGCAACCUUACUUCAAACAUCAUUACCUUUAACAACUCUUAACUAUUCUAACAACUCUUAAAGUAUUCUAACUCUAUACUUAGACACAUACACAAACUCGAUAUUUUGGCUUCUUGGGCUGAUGACAAUUCGCAGGCCCAUUACUCUUAAACAAGAAGCCCAAUCCCUUUCUCCAGAGUUGACUUCUCUUCUUGGUUGACUCUCUUCUUCUUCUCUGAUUCCUUCUUCCACCACACGAGACUUCAUCUUCUUCCUUUCUUCUUCUAAUUGAAGCAACUUUCUUGUUUGCUAGAUUUAAUCAAGGACUCAACCUUCAACAGUUAUCCUCCAAUUUUAUUCCAUGGAGUCAUGACUAAAAUAUUUAGAGUAACUCCAUUUUUAGAGUAACUGUAACAUCCCAAACCCAGCCCAAUUAGAGGAGGCCCAGCAAAUCCAGGCCCACUCCAGAAACCCUAAUAUAAAUAGAGAAUUAGGAGUUAAUGAGCCUCAUUUUGCCUAAUUACCCUAGCCCCCAAAGAAAAGAAAGUGAGAGAGAGAAGGAGAAGCUGCACGCCGUCGCCGAGGACGAGAGCCGCCGCCGCCGCCGGAGAAGGGUGCCGCCGCCGCCGCCGCUUGCCGAGAGAAGAAGGAGCACUCGCCUGCCUCCACCUUCUCAGAAGUUGCUUGAUUCUUUUGCCUCUUCUAGUUCUCCUUAAUCUCAGAUCUGCUUUUAGGCCAAGGUGAGGAUUAGAUCUAGGUCUUUCUUCUUAUCCCUUUAUCUUCUUCUGUUGUGUUGAGUCUAGAUCUGGUGGGACAGGUAUGUCUUCUUGUGCAUCUAGGCAGAUCCAUAUAUAUAUAUANNNNNNNNNNNNNNNNNNNNNNNNNNNNNNNNNNNNNNNNNNNNNNNNNNNNNNNNNNNNNNNNNNNNNNNNNNNNNNNNNNNNNNNNNNNNNNNNNNNNGUAGAAGUCCUAAAGGUCAUAAGUCUGUUUCUGUAUAGUGAUGUUGCCGAAUGCAGGCUUUGUUUGCUGGGUUAUGUUGCCGUCUGUGUGACCGUGGCAAUAAUCCAUUCAUCCGGUGGAGUGAUGACCCACGGGGCUGUCCGUGUGACAGGGUCUCUGUCUGUGUGACAGGGCGUCUGUCUGUGUGACAGGGUGAGAUGUCGACCUGUGUCCGAGUGACAAGGUGGUUUGGCCUAUUGAGAGGCGGGAUCGGAGACAUCACUGCUUGUUAGUUGCUUGUGCACUUGUAGAGUGCUUGUUUGGUUUCAUUAGAUUUAUUCUUAAUAUGUUGGUGGAAAUAAAUGAAUAAGGCGGGAGCCUGGUUUGGUUCUCACUGAGUAAUUCUUCCAAAUUACUCACCCCUCUCUCUCUAAAUUCCGAUGUGCAGGUGAAUGUGAUUGUGAUUGUGAAUGUGAUGAUGUCUGGGAAGAAGUAGACGAGUAAUUCUAGUGUGGUGUGCCUUCAGAAAUGGAGGAAGUUUUAUUGUUUUCAAGAACUAUUUCACAUUUCUUCUUAAGACAAUGUUUCUAUUUUAUUUCAGAUUUCAUAAGUUAUUUCAUUUCUAUGGUAAGACUUAGAUUUGGGUUUGGAUUUGAAUAAAGAACAACAAGUUAUUUGGAAUUGAUUUAGUUUAGGUUAGUUAAUAUCCCGGUUUAUUCUGGUUUCCUUCGGAAGCAGGAAUCGGGGUGUUACAAUUUGGUAUCAGAGCAUGGUUCGAACUAGGUGUUAAGAGAGCUAUCUAGAAUAGUGGGAAUGGGAUUCGGAUUUCAAAAAAAAAAUGGUUUAAAAAGUUUUUAAAAGUUUUCAAGUUUUCAAAGUUCAAAGAUUUUUCCAAAUGUUUUCAAAGAAAGAAAACUACCACCUAGACUGGCCUCUCUAGUUUUUGUUGUUCUUUUCUUUUGCAGGAAGUUAGUCUUUACGGGACCGGACUGACUUAUCUGCCUUUUAUAGUUUUGUAAGCCCGAGGUUGACCAAGUGUUGGACCUUCUCCGGAAAGUUCACCCCCAGAUUGAAAGCAGUGGAAACUGCUGGAAGUGAGCAGGUGAAGACCAUUGGAAUCCAUGAAGAGGUGCCUAUCUUGUUGGAAGGAGCAGAUUUUCCUUGGACUCUAGUGAAAAUGAAGUUGGGCCACUAUGAUGUUAUCCUUGGAAUGGACUGGCUGAAGCAUUAUGAAGUUGUCCCGAAUUGCCGGAAGUCGAGGGCCUAUGUUCCGUAUCAAGGAGGUCGGAUUGCCUUUCAGGGAGUAAAGACCGACACCGGAGUGCCAGUCAUUUCGAUGAUUCAUGCCGAGAAUCUUAUAGAGGAAGGAUGUGAAGCUUUCUUGGCGACAGUCUCUAUGGUAGGAGAGGGAGCACCUAAGAGCCUUGAGGAGAUACCAGUGGUGAAUGAAUACGCGGACGUAUCCAACCAUUGACUGGACCUCCGCCAAGAAGAGGAGUUGACUUCACUAUCGAAUUAGAACCAGGAACAGCCCCUGUUUUGAAGGUUCCAUAUCGAUUGGCACCAGCAGAGAUGGCUGAGCUAAAGAAGCAGUUGGAGGACUUGACGGAUAAAUGAUUUAUUCGGCCAAGCAGCUCGCCAUGGGGAGCGUCCGUGCUAUUUGUAAAGAAGAAAGAUGGAAGCUUUCGACUUUGCAUUGAUUAUAGAGGGCUGAAUAAGGUGACCAUCAAGAAUAAGUAUCCCUUGCCAAGGAUUGAUGAGUUGUUGGACCAGUUAGAAGGAGCUUCAUGGUUCUCUAAAAUUGAUUUGGCGUCAGGCUAUCACCAGAUUCGGAUAGCAGAGGAGGACAUUAGUAAGACAGCAUUCCGAACUCGAUAUGGUCAUUAUGAGUUUGUGGUAAUGCCGUUUGGAUUGACUAAUGCGCCUGCAGCUUUCAUGAAGUUGAUGAAUGAUAUUUUUUUAGAGCACUUGGAUAAGUGUGUGAUUGUCUUUAUUGAUGACAUCCUGGUCUAUUCAAGGUCGGAGAGAGAGCAUGAAUGGCAUUUAGGAAUGAUUCUGCGGAAGUUAAGGGAUCAGCAGCUUUUUGCGAAGCUAAGCAAGUGUAGCUUCUGGCAGAGGAAGAUGGGAUUCCUUGGCCAUAUUGUCUCAGAAGAGGGAGUAGCAGUGGAUCCUGAGAAGAUCACUGCAGUGACAGAGUGGCCUGUACCUAAAAGUGUUACUGAGGUCUGUAGCUUUUUGGGUCUGGCUGGGUAUUAUCGUAAGUUUGUGCCUAAUUUCUCCCGUAUUGCCAAACCUCUCACCAGCUUGACGGAGAAGAAUGUUAAGUUUGAGUGGAUGGAUAAGAGAUCUCAGAGUUUUGAGGAGUUGAAGCAGAAACUCACAGAGACUCCGAUAUUGAUACUUCCAAGGUCAGGAAUACCAUAUGAUGAAUACACCGAUGCCUCUGGAUCCGGGUUAGGAUGUGUGCUGAUGCAGGAAAAGAAGGUCGUAGCNNNNNNNNNNNNNNNNNNNNNNNNNNNNNNNNNNNNNNNNNNNNNNNNNNNNNNNNNNNNNNNNNNNNNNNNNNNNNNNNNNNNNNNNNNNNNNNNNNNNGCUUCGGAAGCAUGAAGUGAAUUAUCCGAUUCAUGAUUUGGAGUUAGCAGCAGUAGUAUUUGCUCUGAAGAUUUGGCGUGCUUACCUGUAUGGGGAGAAGGUGCACAUAUAUACUGAUCAUCAGAGUUUGAAGCAUGUGUUCACUCAGGAUGAUUUGAAUCUGAGGCAGAGGAGGUGGAUAGAAUUAUUGGCUGAUUAUGAUUUGGAAAUUUCCUAUCAUCCUGGAAAAGCCAACCAAGUGGCAGAUGACUUGAGUAGAAGGAGAAAUGCGGUUUCUGAGGCUAAGGAAACGCAGGAGCUGAUAGCGACUUUGGCGAAUUUGAGUUUGUGUGUCGCUGAAGUAGAGGAUGAUGCAGCAGGAUUUGAAGCAUUGGAUAAUGCUGACCUGCUGAUGAGGAUUCGUCAGGAGCAAGCGCAUUAUUUGUCCCUUAAGGAGAUUUUUGAAAAGCAAGUGGUUGGGUACCACAAAGCAGACAACGGGACUUACAUGUAUAGGAAUCGAGUCUGUGUUCCCAUGAAUGAUGAGCUAAGGAGGGAAGUGUUAAGUCAGGCUCAUCAGUCGAAGUUUUCUAUUCAUCCAGGGAACACCAAGAUGUAUCGGGAUCUAAACCGCUACUACCGUUGGUCUGGUAUGAAGCGCGAUAUUUCUGCUUGGAUAUCUCAGUGUUCUACAUGUCAGCAAGUGAAAGCAGAGCAGAUGGCACCAAGUGGACUUCUCCAAAACUUGCCAUUACCAGAAUGGAAAUGGGAUAUGGUAACUAUGGAUUUUGUGACGGGGUUGCACAGGACACUAAGUAAGAAGAAUGCGAUUUGGGUAAUCGUAGACCGUCUUACUAAGUCAGCUCACGCUUUGCCAAUUAAAAAGACGGAUGGAGCAGAGCAGUUGGCGCAGAAGUAUAUUGAUGUUAUUGUGAGGUUGCAUGGAGUUCCAGUGAGCAUAGUGUCGGAUCGGGAUCCAAAGUUUACAGCUAGUUUCUCGCAGGCCUUCCAGAAAGCAUUGGGAACAAAGGUUCAUCUCAGCACAGCAUACCACCCUCAGACAGAUGGCCAAUCAGAAAGGACGAUUAGGACCCUGGAGGAUCUGUUGAGAACGUGUGUCCUAGAUUGGGAAGGAAGUUGGGAGAAGCAUUUGCCUUUGGCGGAAUUUGCUUAUAAUAACAGCUAUCAUAGUAGCAUUGGGAUGGCACCAUAUGAGGCUCUAUAUGGUCGGCCUUGUCGCACACCUCUGUGCUGGACAGAAGUAGAAGAAAUGAGAGUGCUAGAGCCAGAGCUCCUUGAGGAGGCGUCUAAGCAAGUGGAAAUGCUUAAGACAAGGUUGAAAGAAGCUCAUGAUCGCCAGAAGAGCUAUGCAGAUCAGUGAAGGCAGGAGUUGUCUUUUGAAGUUGGUGAUAUGGUGUAUCUGAAGUUGAGGACCUUCAGAGAGAAUGAUAAGCAUCGGCUGAUGAAGAAGCUUAAGCCUAGGUACAUGGGACCGUACCCUAUCCUGGAAAGGAUUGGAGAAGUGGCUUACCGUUUGGAGUUGCCCAAAGAAUUAGCUGAGUUCCAUGAUGUGUUUUAUAUCUCUCUUCUGAGGAAAGUUGUGAGGGAGCCAUAACUCAUUUUGCCCCAGCCGCCAGCAGAUGUAAAGAAGGACUUCUCAGCAGCAUAUCAGCCUGAGGCAGUGUUGGAAUUUCAGGAAAAGGAGUUGAAUGGUAAGAGAAAACCAGCGGUUAAGGUGUGUUGGGAAAGGGAUGGAAUCCGCGAAGAAACCUGGGAAGUAGAGCAGAAAAUGCGGAAGGAAUUCCCGGAACUCUUUAAGGAUAAGGGAGAAACCGGAGGAGUGGGAGAGAAUUCGGGGACGAAUUCUAUGGAAGUAGGGGAGAGUGGUAACAUCCCAAACCCAGCCCAAUUAGAGGAGGCCCAGCAAAUCCAGGCCCACUCCAGAAACCCUAAUAUAAAUAGGGAAUUAGGAGUUAAUGAGCCUCAUUUUGCCUCUAAUUACCCUAGCCCCCAAAGAAAAGAAAGUGAGAGAGAGAAGGAGAAGCUGCACGCCGUCGCCGAGGACGAGAGCCGCCGCCGCCGCCGCCGCUUGCCGAGAGAAGAAGGAGCACUCGCCUGCCUCCACCUUCUCAGAAGUUGCUUGAUUCUUUUGCCUCUUCUAGUUCUCCUUAAUCUCAGAUCUGCUUUUAGGCCAAGGUGAGGAUUAGAUCUAGGUCUUUCUUCUUAUCCCUUUAUCUUCUUCUGUUGUGUUGAGUCUAGAUCUGGUGGGACAGGUCUGUCUUCUUGUGCAUCUAGGCAGAUCCAUAUAUAUAUAUAUAUAUAACUAAUAAGAUCUAGGAUCUCAUUAGAGGAAGAACCAGCAUGAUUGAUUGAUAACCCUGUUGAUUGGUUAGUGAUUGGUAGAAGUCCUAAAGGUCAUAGUCUGUUUCUGGUAUAGUGAUGUGCCGAAUGCAGGCUUGUUUGCUGGGUUAUGUGCCGUCUGUGUGACCGUGGCAAUAAUCCGUUCAUCCGGUGGAGUGAUGACCCACGGGGCUGUCCAUGUGGCAUGCCGGGAUUGGUCUGUCCGUGUGACAGGGUCUCUUUCUGUGUGACAGGGCGUCUGUCUGUGUGACAGGGUGAGAUGUCGACCUGUGUCCGAGUGACAAGGUGGUUUGGCCUAUUGAGAGGCGGGAUCGCAGACAUCACUGCUUGUUAGUUGCUUGUGCACUUGUAGAGUGCUUGUUUGGUUUCAUUAGAUUUAUUCUUAAUAUGUUGGUGGAAAUAAAUGAAUAAGGCGGGAGCCUGGUUUGGUUCUCACAAAUUAUUCACCCCUCUCUCUCUAAAUUCCGAUGUGCAGGUGAAUGUGAUUGUGAUUGUGAAUGUGAUGAUGUUUGGGAAGAACUAGACGAGUAAUUCUAGUGUGGUGUGCCUUCAGAAAUAGAGGAAGUUUUAUUGUUUUCAAGAACUAUUUCAUAUUUCUUCUUAAGACAAUGUUUCUAUUUUAUUUCAGAUUUCAUAAGUUAUUUCAUUUCUAUGGUAAGACUUGGAUUUGGGUUUGGAUUUGAAUAAAGAACAACAAGUUAUUUGGAAUUGAUUUAGUUUAAGUUAGUUAAUAUCCCGGUUUAUUCUGGUUUCCUUUGGAACCAGGAAUGGGGUGUUAUAAUAACUCUAUUUUUAAAGUAAUUCCAUUUUUUUAAUAGUAACUCUAUUUUGGAGAGAAAUAUGAAGUAGGUUUAGAGAGAAUUUUCUUCAAACUCUAUUUUGGAAUGAAAUUUGGAGUAGAGUAGGAGAUGUCUAAGAGAACUGAUUACCCCAUCAAAUGAACGCAAGAAACGAUUCUCGGUAUCUUCGUCCUCCAUUCAAGCUCAGUUUUUUGUUCUCGAGGAAUCAAUCUUAUUACAAACUGGCCAACUCAUGAGAAACUUGUAGCAUUUAAGGGUAGCUUUCUCAGCUUUGGACAGAGAUCAGCUACUAUGUGCUUCAGAAAUGGAAAGGCAAGAGGACUCCCGUAGAUACUCUACAGCUUAGGCAAAUUCCUAAAUGUUAUAAAUUUUAGUUUCUGAAAUGGUCUUAUACCUGUAAGAUUGUUACUUUUUUUUUUACAAUGUCUUCCAGUCUUCUUGAAUUUUCAAUCUGUAGGUAGACAAGAUAUAUUGACUAGAUUUUGUUGAAAAAUGUCAAUCUCUAAAACAUUGCUGCAGUUCGCCAACCUUCAAUCGCCCAAUAAUUGCUCUAAAUCCAACUCCGCAGAUAUGAUUAUGGUUAGAACUUGUGGAUUCUCCAAGAGCUGAAGCUCCUUCAAUAAGCUAGCAUCUCCAUGAAAAUUAGAAUAUUAUAGUUUCAAAAUUCUUUAACUUGAUACUUUUGAUAUCCCAUUGAUACUAGAAAGUCUCUAUGUAACAAUCAAAUUCAGCUGACUUCGCUUUUUAAUAUCUUGGUAGCCAACAUGGAGUUGCUCUAUACUGUAUACGACAAGUCAAGAUACUGCAAGGAUGCCAACUCUGAUAGCUUUUUCAUAAAGCGGAUGAAUUUACCUGAGAGAUUUUUCAAAUUGUCACUCUGGAGGAACAUAGUUGUAUAAGUUCAGAGCACUUGGAAAUGCAAGUUAUCUCUUUAAUCGUAUUCUUCAUUAAAGACAUCCUUCUCACAGCUUUCCAAUGCUUGACUUUUGGUAUUUCAUGUAGUCCAACAUAACCCUUAUUCUUCGCUCUUUUAAAAACUUGGCAUUCUCCAAUGAAUCCCUAGAUCACGUACUCUAUCAAUUUUUCUUUAUCUAUUCGAACAUCUUCUGGAAACAGAGCACAAUAAAAGAAACAUGACUUGAUACGUUCAUCCACCAAGCAAUUGUAGCUGUACUGGACAUUUUGCUAAUGUUGAGCAAACAUGACUUUAUCUAUAGAGGAAACAUGACUUUAUCUAUAGUGUUUUUGGUCAAUAGGUGGAAUGCAUUUAGCUAAUGACGAUGAAAGAGAGAGAGAUUGUGUUAGAUUUCAUUCCUCUUUGCUUUGUAAUUUCUCCCAUAGUUUCAAAGUCGUCGACUUGAUGCAACCAUGUUUUUAUAAAGAUGAUUAAUCCCCAGUUUCGGAGUAUUUUAAUCACAUUAGAUGCCACUAUGUUUUAAAAGACAAAGCUCAAAUUCGUUGACUUGAGCUUUUCAAGAACGAUUUGAAACGUGUGGCUGAUGUCCCAGAAAGAAAUGCACCUGAUUUCAGAAUGGCCUCCAGAAACCUGCACCAUACCAAGUAAAAUCAAAACAAAUUAAAGUCAGAUAAUAAAAAAUUAAAAGAGGAAUGCUUCUGGGGGACAACUCCUAAGCAGCAUUGCUCUUAGAUUUAGAAGGUUCAAGAAGAGAUUAUUUCUGUACCAGCAAAACUUGGCAUAUUCUGAGGCUUAAGGAGGAUAUAAAACGUUGGUUGAAAGCUGUGUGGUUCAAGAGAGCCACUCCAAAGCAUGCUUUCACCUUUUGGACGGCAAACUAAGACAGGUUACCACUGAAAACAAAGCUUGUGAGCUGGGGAAUUAAUAUCUCUCCAACAUGCUGCCUUUGUGACAUGGAGGAAGAGACUAGAGACCAUUUGUUUCUACACUGUCCAUUUUCUGAAGCAGUUUUGACCAUGGGGAUUCGGUGACUCGGAUUUUUUUGGAGUCUCAUUCUCUAAUUGGCAGUCCAUGAUCAACUGGAUGCUUCAACGAACACCAAGACUCUCCUCUACUUACUUGUUAUGGGGUGAACGAAACCAGAUAAUACAUGAUGGUCCUCUAUCUUCUGAAAACCAUCUCUUCGAUUAGUUGGAUAGACUGAUUAGAGACACAUUGUUGGCACACAAUCCCAGCGUAACUAUAGGGGUCUUCUAUCUCUUUGGUUUAAGAACCACUAGUUCUUCAAGCUCGAUUGUAAUUCUACUAAAAUGAUCUGUUUCCAAGCCUUUUUCCUUUUUUAGGCUUUUGAAACAGUGGCUGAGAGAUUUAUAGAAUAGUAGCGGAUUAAGCAAGAAUAUAGAGAGAUUUAGGUGAGAUUAAUGAAAAACUAAAGAAAAGAAGAGAGAAUCAAGAGAUUUAGAGAGAAAGAAAUGUAUUCUCAUUUUCUUAGAUCUAUAGAAAGCUGCUACAUUGUGUUUAAGUAGGAAGACAAAGAAAACUCUAACACAUAUGAGUAUACUAAAUACCUUAUAAAGUUUUAUAAAGUUUUAUAAAAUCUUAUAAAGUCUUAUAAAGUCUUUUAAAGUUUUCUAAUUGGAUUCCCACCAGAAAAGCUGAGAAUGAUCCAUCUUGUUUAACAGUGGCUAAUGUAAUAUACAAUAUAAUUCAAAUUUUAUUAAAAAAAAUAUAAGUUGCUUCUUUUGUGGGCAAAAAACAGGUCAUACAAAAGCUCGUCGUUAGUCUUUACAAGUUUCAGAGGACAGUAAUAUAUAAAAUCAUCAAAUAAUAUCGAAAACCCAUAGAAAUACACAAAAGCGUGUGUUCAAGAGGAAAGAAUUGUACAAGAAUAAUCUAUAACAUGUUGCAUCUAAUUGUGUCGAUGUUACAUGGGAUCUUCUUCGUCCAUCUACUAUAGUCAUAACAGGAUGUUAAAGCAAGACUUAAAGAUGAUGGAUCCGAGUCUGAAGUUACAGAAACGUGGAUUAAGCAAUAAAUUGGAGAUGAUGAAAAUAAGUUAUGCCCAAAGUAGCUUAUGAUGUGGAAGUGGGUUUUGUUUUUUUUUGCGAAUCCUAAAAGAUUAUUGUGUUGUGCUGAUUCUACGUUAGUCUUAGAAGAAUGGAGUGUGUAAAAUAGAGAAAAUUUUAUAAAAGAAGUAACGUUCAUAUGUAGAAAAGCAAGCUUUUGAAUGAAUAAUGGCUUGGUUUAUUUUUCUGUUGAAAGAAAAAAAAAAUUAUUUAAUAUUUCAAAACGAGUGUAAAAGUGAAAUACUUUCUCGCGAUAGAAAAAGUAUUUCACUUUCUCGCGACAGAAAAAAUAUUUCACUUUCUCGCGACAGAAAAAGUAUUCCACUUUCACUGCUGGUGAUCUAAAUGACGAUCCCAAAUAAACAAAUAAUAUUAGAAAUUUAUCUAUACACUAUUAUUUGCGAAGUUAAAAAUUUUAGGUAUUGUCCCCACAACAAUUGUUCUACGUGGCAUUAAUGAAAAAAUAUUAUUUAUUGUUUUAAUUUGUUUUAAUAGAUCGAUCAUUAAUCUUACGUGUAAAAACUUGUGACUUGGCUUUUUUCUUCGAUAAUGGGCUACAGAGUUUGUUCAUGGGCCAGCGAUUUUUUUUUUCACUCAUAGCCACCGAUUCUGGUAAUAGGGCACCGACGUCGAAACCCUAAACUCUAAAGAAUAUAUCCUACUAUAUAUACAUGUAUUAUCUACAUAUAUUUUUACAUACAACAACUGUCUUCAAGGUCUAGCAAUUUUUACAAAACUCGUCCACCUCUUUACACGAAUACAUCUUUUGUAUAUCCCAAUCUAGUUUAAAAUAUAUCGUUUAUUUAGUUGGUUGUUCUUCCAUGCUAACUUUUGAAUCGUUUUGUUCUGAUCGAGAUUCUUUUAUGCUAACCAGUCAAAUAUCUAUGUUUUUUUUCUAUCGUGUUCUAUAUUAUUAUGCAUCACAACUAUUUUAUUUUUUAAUCCCUGUUUUACUCUCUAUGCGAUUGGUCAUCGAGAUAUCAUAUUUGUGUUCUUUCUUUUGCUUUGUAAUUCUAUAUAUAAAAUUCGAUGCUUCAGUAUUAGAUAUUCAUGUUUCUCUUUAUUAAAUUUUUCUUAUGGUUAUAUUGAGUUAUUAUUCGUAAAUAUAGAUUGACCUGAGCUUCUUUAUUGUUUUCAUUGAACCUAGAGUUUAUCGUGCAAACUAUAGGUGAUUGGUUCAAACUUUUGCAAUCAUAUCUUCAAAUGAAUCUAACAGGUAAUUGUAAAUAAAUCAUUAGUACUUUUUUUUGUCAACAACUUAUUAGAACUUCCAAUUUUCUUAAUUGAUAUUCGUAAACUCUAUAAUUUAUUAUUUUGAUAUUCUUAAAAGGAUCAAAACCAUAGAAAUGAGUUUUUUUUUUGUGUGUAUAAUUCAUGUUUUAGUUUAGGUUUGUAUUAAUUUUUCUGGUAACAUAUUGUGAAUGAAUGUUAUUUAUUGUUUGAUUGUUUGAUUGUUCUUUGUUUCUCCUUGGGUUCUACUAUACAUUUUCUUUAUAUUGUUGUUUAUGUUUAUUUUUAUUUCUAAAUAUAAUUUUAUGGUUUUUGUGGUAGCUUUUGUGGACAUGUAAAAAAAAAAAAAGGAGUAACCAUUUCAGAUUAAUUUUGGUUUCAUAGUUUACUAAAGAUAUGUAACAUGAACAAAACGUCUAUUGUUUUAUAAAAUUCCCAUUGUUUUCUACCCAAAGGCAAUUAUGUUGGUUCUGGAAAAAAUGUUUUAUAGUUUUGCUUUUUACCCAACACAUUCUUUUAUCAGAAAAACAUUAAAUCACUCUCAAGAUUAAACUUAUCAGGCAUUAAAGCAAUAUUUUUGUUGGUAAGUCGAUGAAUGAGAAUGUGAUGUCUCAUAACUUCAAAGAGCAAAGGAAAAAUAAGUGACAACGAGACUAGAUUCGGUGUGAGUAGAAUCUUUACGCAUGUUAAGUAUUUGUUGAUAUACAGCAAUCAUAUUGAGAACAGAGUGCAAACCAAUUGCAAAUUGCACCAUCCAAUUGGUGUUAAAUUAUAUUAUGGUUAAUCCCUGACCCAUUUCUUAGUUUCAUCAUUAAUUAAUGAAUCAUCAGUUUUUUUUAACCCCUGAUGAGAGAUAAAAUCAGCUGAAGGAAGGAAAGUCACCAAUACAGAGGAAGAAGAAUAUUUGCUAUAAAAUAUUCAGGUCUUAAUUUUCAUCAUCCUUGUAAUUUGUUUCAGCUUGCUAAAACUACUUUUUUAGUGUUGCAGACUUCAUCGGAAUACCUAAUAAAUUGAUGAUUCUCUGAUACCAGAAUCUAAGAAAUAUACUCACACGUGAUAAACUGAAAUUUUUGUGAAUUGCAGAAUGAACAUACUCACACGUUGCAUUUCUUAUAUGUUUUGAUGUGAAACAAGUAAUUCUUCUGUCAUAUAGCUUUGUUGCUUUAAAAUUAAUCAGUCUGCUAUUACCAGUUACUUUUAAAUCAGAAUUUCAUAACGUAAUGUGGUAGCAUAAUCCAAAUUUGUUGAUUUAAGUAGGAUAUCCCGAAUAGGAAAUGUUGUAGUUCGUGUAUGGCAUACUUCAAAUCUUAGAAUAUGUUUUGGCUUGAGUCUUCAAGAUGUGCUAGAUAGUUAUCAACUUAUCAUCUUGAGGAAAUGAACUUAAAGAAUUAUAUAAGAGAUAUACUCAUAAUUCAUAUAUACUAUAAUCCAUUUUAUUGCCAAUUUUUUUUUUUGAGUUAGAACCUAUAAAACUUAAAAACAUAUAUCAUGGUAGAAUCAAGUGUCAUCUCACUAAGACUUAUUAUGCUCAUAUAUGGUUCUAUUGAUUUUAAAAAAAAAAUAAUAAUUAAACAUACGAAUUAACCAAAAUAUAGUUUUAAAAGUUUUAAGGUCUGCUAUGUUUUUUUAAAGUGUUAGAGCAUUUUCAUCCCUUAAAUCUAUUAGAGGUUCUUAAACAUAUUUUAAUAUUAAAUUUGUCAAAUAUUUUAAUAUUAAAUUUUAAACUGCUUAUCCUAAUCAAUUAAAACACGACACCUAGCUAAGAGAUUCAUUAAAAUCGAUCCUUAUUUAAGAAUCACAAUAACCAGUCCUUAAAAUUAAAUGCAUUUUUCAAUUAAUUUUAAACCCACUUUUCCUCUAAUAUCCCCAUAGGAUAUCACCGAAGAGGUAGGUGGUCUUACUUUGCUAAGCUUCAAAUUGUAUUGUCUUCACUCUUCAGUAUAAGACUAAUGAACAUUUAGUUUACAAUUUUGAAUUUUCUAAAUGGAGUAGGCCGAGAUCAGGCCCAGGCUAUAACCGCUUCUUACAGGCUAUUGAUGCAAUCAAAUGUUACAAAUUGCAAACGGCUAUUUGCUUUGUGUUAGCAUUGGUCCAUUGAAUUUUCAAUUUUUUUUUAAUAACUUAUAUUGAGUCAUAUGGAAAUGGACAACACUCAGUUUAAUAAUAGAUGUCCGGUAUCGGUUCUUAUCAGCACCGCUGCUUUGUAUGUAGUCGCCGUCUGCAAGAAUCAUUCUGAGAAAUGCUAGACAAAAGUGAGAAAGACGAUUUCGUAAAAGAAAGAAGAUUGAGUUUUGCCAGAAACUACUCUACAAGAUUGUUAUAGUUUCUGGACACGCAGCUAAUUCAAACGACGAACCAAUGUUCAAGACCGGUGGGCGGUGAAUUGCGAAUUUGUUUUUGGCUGAAGAUUUGUUCUUGGGUUCUUGUUUUAAUGUUCUUAAUGUGGUGAAGCCAUUAGGAAAGGAAUGUGAAAACUCUUAAAAUUAAGAAGACUCUUUCCAUGUCUUCUUAAGUGAAGUUGUCUCUAGUUAUUGCCCCAAAUCAGAAAGCCACUAGACAUAGUUUAGGAUUAGAUGGAAGUCACAGCAUCUUCAGAUUUAAAUUAGAGAGUCUGAAAAACAGGAUCUUCAUGAUUCAGCAAAAUCAUAUAACUUUUCAUCUUGAUUCCUCCUGUUAACAACACAUACACACUGCAAGAUGAAAUAGAAAAAGCUACAGGUAGAGAAAUUUCAUUUUGGAUAGUGAGGAAUCAAAAUACACAGUAAAUUCAGAGGCAUCACAUGCUUUUAUGAUAUAUCCUUUCACGUAAAAGCAUAAAAAAACUGUUGAUUAUAUAAAUACAUGUAGCUUGAGAAGGAAGCAAUCCGCCUUAACUUAUUACAUAGAAAAAUGAAAAAGAAAAUCCAAUUUAAAAACACAACACACUGCAGAGAUGUAUGAGACUGCAUAGGAAAAACAAUAAUACAAUCCAAAUGAAGAACACAUCAUACUUUGAGAAGAAAGAGAAAGCAGAAGAAGAAGCGUGGAUUCUGGUUUAUCACAGUGAGGAAUUCCAAUCCAAAUUGAGGGAUGGUUAGUCCUAAUAACUCAGUACUAUAAGAAAAAAAUAAAUAAACAAAGUUAGUGAAUAUUCAGAAAAAUACAUUUCACCUAAAACUGCUAGGAAUAUCCAGCAAAUUCUGCCUCACCAUUUAAUAUCUUAAUAAGAAGCUGAACCAAUUUUCAACAGUUUCUAUUAAAUAUUUGUAUAUAUUCCUUCAUUAACGAAUGUGAAAGGAAAAGAAGAAGAAAGAAAAUACUGUUUGUGAUUUAGUAGUCAUUUGAAGAGUUCAAUGCACAUAUGUAUUUAAACUUUUGAAAUUAUGACCCCUCGUAAAUAUCCAACAAACACAGGUCUGAUGAUUUUCGAGAUAAUUUUCUAAUUUUGUGACCCAAUUUGUGUUUUGUUGGGUAUCAAUGUAUCAUGAUGCAAAUGGAUCAUAUCAGACUAAAAAAAAAACGAUCACACCUCAUUCUAACCUUGAGCAAACAUGAAAGAAACUGAAGUAAGAUAAAAUAAUUUAUUCAAGCGGAAGAGAAUAAGAGAAAUGAUUACCCCAGCGAAUAAAAGGCAGGAAACGAUGUUUAGUAUCUUCAUUCUCCCAUUCCAGCUCAGUUUUCUGUUCUCGAGGAUACAUAUUUAUUUUAAACCCGCCAAGUCGUGGGACACUUGUAGCAUCAAAGGGAAGCUUUCUCAGCUUUGGACAAUCAUAUACUCCUAUGUGCCGCAAUGAUGGAAAGGGGAGAGGACUCCAGUAGAUACUCUCCAGCUCUGGCAGAUUUCUCAGGACUAAGUGUUCUAGUUUCUGAAAUGGUGUAGUACCUGUAAGAUUGGUUGCUUUCUCUUUGUUUAUGAUUUCUUCUAGUUCUCCUUCGAAAAUUUCUAGCCGAGUCAGAUUUGGAGAAAACAGUAGCCAAGUCAGAUCCUUAAUGCCAUGACAGCGAAACAUUGUCACGACGGAGAGGUUGGUAAAGCAUGAGCUUCCUCUGCAUUUAAUAUAUGUAUCAAUCGCCGACACAUGACUACUCACAUGGAGCUCACGAAGAUUCUCCAUACUCAACAGCGAUGACAUAUUGAAUGGCUUUUCCUCAAAUCCCACAAUACCCAGAUAAUUGAUGCAGUUAGCCAACUCGGUAGAGAUCGUUAUAUAUGCUUCAAACCCAACUCGGUAGAGAUCGUUAUCUGUAGAACUUGUAGAUGCUCCAAGAGCUGCAGCUCCUUCAACAAGCUAACAUCUCCAUGAACUUUAGAAUAUCUUAGUUUCAAAAUUCUUAAACUCGACAGCUUUGAUAUCCCACUGAUACUACAAAGACUCUUUGUAAAAGUCAAAUCCAGAUGAAUUAGCUUUUUCAACUCUUGGAAACCAACUGGCAGUUGCUUUAUACUUGUGCCCGACAAGUUAAGAUACUGCAAGGAGGCCAGCUUCGAUAUCUGCCGAUAUCGAUAUUACGUGAUAGAUCCAAAACAACUAGCUUUUGCAUAGAGCCGAUGAAUUCACCCGAGAGAUUCUUCAAAUGAGUAUUACGGAGGAGCAGAGUUGUAAGUUCAGAACACUUGGAACCACAGGUUAUCUUUUUAAGCUCAUUCUUCAUCAAAGACAUCCUUCUCACAGCUCUCCAAUCCUUGACUUUUGGCAUUUCGUGUAAUCCGACUCCUGCUUGAACCAAAAAAGUCUCUUUCUGUUUCCCAAAGUCGGAUGCAAUCCAUAGAGCCAUUUCGCGAACCACGUCAUGCAUCACAACACCUCUUCUACUAUUAGACUGUUCUGUCAGUAAAUUUGCGCGGAUAAGGGUACCAAGUACCUCAUAACCCUUAUUCACUGCCCUUUUAUAAGAUUGGUCUUCCUUGAUGAAUCCUUCGCAUAUCCAGUACUCUAUCAAUUCUUCUUUAUCUUCAGGAAACAGAGCACAAUAGAGGAAACACGACUUGAUAUGUUCACCCGCCAAGCUAUCGUAGCUGAACUUCAGAAUUGGCAGACCUUUUUUGCAUGCUCGACAAUGGCAGGAUCUCUACUUAAUGUGUAGUCUCCUACCUUGCUUUUGAACAAUUCCCAUGCUUCUUCUUGUCCCAAACAGUCGACUUUCAUCGGCUCAUGAUCUCCCAUCCGCCCACAUACUUCCCGAGUGGUGAAUGCUACUUUGCAUCCAUUUUCUCUGGUGGGAAACGGAACUCCGAUAGCUUCUAAAUCCACUUUCUCCCAUAUAUCAUCUAGCAUCAAAACAAAUCUCUUCCCUUUUAAAACUCUGUGUAUAUCGAUUGCCUUGUCACUUUCACUUUUGUUCGUUCCGCCAAGGUUUAGCUUUUGUGCAAUAUCUUCUUGAAGCUUUGAAAUAGUUGCACCUUGAGACACCACGACCCAGAUCACAACAUCAAAUCUACCAGCCAUUUCAGUGAACUUAUUGUGGAUAUUCUUGAAAAGGGUAGUCUUGCCUACACCUCCCAUACCGUGCAAACCAAUGAUUCCAACUCCAUCUUCCAUAAGGCGCUUCCAUGCCUCUCCCAGCAUUGUUUCCUGACCGAUCGUAGGCCCAGUAGGCCUUUCUUCUACUACAGAUCUCAAAACCGGCUCAGUAACCUCUUUAAAAUUACCCUCCGAUUUGAGUUUCUUAACCUCUUUCAGCAACAAGAAUACCUUUUUCCCAUAUUUGUAGCUCGAACAUACACUUUUU